This 53716-nucleotide long non-coding RNA is filed under the name Triticum aestivum (bread wheat). RNAcentral's name for it is "long non-coding RNA (TAES_LNC019504)". Lineage: Eukaryota; Viridiplantae; Streptophyta; Magnoliopsida; Poales; Poaceae. The record is from RNAcentral.
UUUUUUUUUGUUUUUUGGUUUGUAAUUUUUUUAGCACAAGUCUGUAUUAAUUGAUAAGACUCUGAGACAUUUCAUUUUGAUUGUUGUGCCAGACCUACAAAUAUGCCAAUCGGGCUGAAUGUGCAUUCAUCAAUAAUAGUAGUAUAGAUGGACCUUAAGUGGCAUGCAUCGGAAAAGGCCAACAUGAUGUACUAGCUUUGCUAAAAAAAGGAUGCUCUUCUAGCAGAAAAAAGUACAACGGCCUGGCUUAUGUAUGUUAGUUGAUAUUAUUGAUCCAUAUACUCUAUAAGCGUUUAUAUGUCUGUUAAUUUUGUACAUUAUUGGUUGAUUGACUCGGUAUUUGAAUCUUGAUACAUCGCUUGUGUACAUAUCUAAAUGGGAGUACACAUUAUGCUGCGUGUGACACUUGAGUUGGACAUAAAGUGGUUACAAAUAUUCGAAUUCACCUUAAACUGGAUUCUAGCUUCUGAAUUCGAGUAUCGACAUUUGUAAAUCAUAUUCGUAUAUGAUAGUGGAAUACAUCUUUGUCGUGCUUUUGAAGAUAUAUAAAAACACAUAGAAUGAUUUAUACAGAUUCGUAUAGGAAUACAAAAUGGAUUCGAAUUUAGUUGCCAGGGUAAAUGUGGAUGUCUAUUGUCCCAAAAUUAGAAAGAAGCGGCAAAAUGUCCACUCCCACAUCGGCUGCCCGAAGCCAGUGUUUGGGAGAUGGAAAUUACUGCCUACCCCUUACAUGGACAAUCCAUCCGCCCGAUUUCCACUACUCUCAAUAGGGGUAGGUUAGUAACUUCAAUUAGAUGGGACACGACCGCCUCUGAGCCCAUUCUGACAUGGUGGGCGCCAAACAUGGGCGGCAAAACACAUUUGAUUCAAGCUCGUUCGAAAGAGCUCUGUCUCUCCCUCCAUUUCCCCUUUCAUACACGGUGGGCGGCAAAACAAACUCGACUCGGCCGAAAUUGAUGUAGGCAAAUAUUUUCAAUAGGGGCAGGUUUGUAACUUCACUCAGACGUGACACAACCGCCCUACCUGUCAGCCCCGUUCAUACACCGUGGGCACCAACCGUGGGCGCCAAAACACCCUCUCCUCGCCCGAAAUCGCUCUGGGCAAAUAUUAGCGAGAUGCGAGAUUACCGUCCUAUCCCCGACCGACGAGACGUCCAAAUUUUAAACGGGGGCUAAGUUCGUAACUUUCCCAUAUUUCAGACAGGCGUGUCCCAAAAACACGGUUCCCCGUACCUCUCCCUCCAUUUUCCCAUUCAUACACCAUCCGCGCUAGAACACCAUCCCCACACCAGCCUCCUCCGUCAGCCACCCCAUCCAUCGCCGCUGUCCUCUACCAUCCAUCGCCGCCGUCCUCUACCCCAUCCAUCGCCACUGUCCUCCACCAUGCCAGAGCGCCUACCAACACCGCGUCGUCCACUGCUAGAGACGGAUGUUUCUCAUCCACGGCGAUGGACCAGGAGCCUUCCAUCGCGUCUUCUCGCUUCAUCGACGCCGUCGUCCUCUUUGUCGGGGCCGCUCACACGACCUUCUCGUCCACCGCAAUGGGACUUAUCCCCCGAUGCACCCGUCUACCGUCGUAGAUCUGCUUCAAUGCCACCGACAGCCAUCGCACCCCCGAUGCCUACACGGCGCCGCAAGAGAGGUGGUACUUCAUAUCUCCUCAACUUUUUUAUCUCAACCAGAAAAUAGAUCGUAACUUGGUUACUGUACUUUCUUUUCAGCUCUUAGAAUUUAGUUCUUAGUUCAAAGCAAACAAUGGAUGCUAAAUAGCAUUUCUGCAGUUUGCAGCUUUAAAUCUCCCAUGGCACAGUCAUAAUUGGGUUUAAUUGAUCAUGCUUAGGGUUUAAUUGAUCAUGUUGGUUAUGUGAUGGUUUCUUUAAUAGAAAUCGGAGGGGAAACCCUCUUUUGCUCAAAUGUUUUUUGCUUAGGGUUUCCCCUUUCAUGAUCACUAUACGAUCAGCAUACGUGCUUCGUGUCAUAAUAGCACUGCUCCACCCAUCAAGCUAAACAAGCUUAGUUGUUGAAAUACAAAUCUGAUAUUAUUAAAAUAGAGUUGUUUAAUUGGUCAGCUAAAUGUUCCUAAUUUAGUUUUGAAAAUACAUGUUCGCCGCUCGGGUGUGUAUCUCUAUAGGGUGCCCACGGUGGGCCGCGCCCCGCCCUGGGAUUUUGGGUCGGCCCAGGCCCCGAUUCCCCUCUGUUCUGCUGCGCUUCCGAUCUCUACUCGCCCCCAGCAGCCUGACUCGCCGGUGAAUUGCCGUCCCCGGACGGCAUGACUCUAGGAGGAGACGCCGGACUAACAGGAGGUGAGGAGCCGCUCGCCCAACAGCGUCACCGCUGCCCGGGCGCGCCAUCGUGUCUACCUUCCCAGUCUGUUCAGGGCUCAGGUGUGCAGCAGCCACUAAGCCAACCCGAUUUAUCCUGAGAUACGUCCUCAACACUCAGCAGCAACUCCUCAUCACCAAUUUUCUAAUUGAUUCAUUACUCAUUAGGCAGGACUGUCAUUAGGGUUUGUUGUGUACUGAGUGCUACCAACACUUAAUGGUUCAGAUGUAUUUCAGUAAUCUUUAGUACAUGUAAAGUUCACAGGGUUUCAAAAUUCCGGCCCUAGGAGCAGACACUAGUCAUUUUGGAUUGUUGGUCGUAGUGACAUUGAACCAGAUUACUACUACAGGCCAGGUUUGUUGAAAAUUUUACUUGUCUUUCUUACUCAUUCCAUAUGAUAUCCAAUUAUUCACGUCGAUUAGUUGCAAACAAUAAGUGCUAGACCAACUUCUUGAUUCAGAUUUUGGACGGUCUCUUACUGGAGUUACAAUUAUGCAUACUUGUCCUAGUAAGAUCAGAAGUAAUGAUUGAUUCACUACAUCUAUGCUUGCCUUGUCAUAUUUGUUAUCAAUAUUCUUUUAGGGUGGACCACCCUGUUUCAAAAUACAGGAACCGCAGACAUGAGUGAAUAGUAUUUCUCUGUGUGAUCUCUUCCAUCAUGUGUGGGCAACGAACACUGCAUUGUAUAGAAAGAAAGUGUCAUUUCCACCUUUUACAUAGACUACGAUCUUUUACAUGGAAUACAAUAUGCCUACUUGCUUUGUGCCGCACUACCAACACUCCACCCUUGAAGCUAAACAUUAUGUCACUCAUAAUUCCUUAGUUUAUUUGUUCAAAUACGAAUUUGAUAUGAUUCUAAUGUUCCUACUUCAGUUUUGAAAUGUGUGUGUGUCUGUUAUAGAGACAUAAGAGGUUUGUAUUUCUGUGUGUGGUCUGGUCAGCACGGUUGGAGGUGAACUUUGCAUAUGCAGGGGUUUAUAGGGAGAUACUCUUCGAGUUGAAUCUGCAAUGCAUUCCAAAGAUAAUCUGACUACUUUCUAUGUUUUCAUGAAUCUCAUAUACUGAACAGCAACAUAAUGAUUAUGAGCUUGCGCGCAUGAAAAGAAUAAAGCAGAGCAAUGCCAUGGCUGUCAAACUUGACAUUAAGGGACUGAAAUCAAGUCUGGAUGCAAUGCAAUGCAAACGCUCUCCACCUACAGAUUCAUGCUCAGAAUAUAUGAUCCUGAUAGUGAUUCUGAGCUAGUGGGAGACCUAAGUCAAUGUAGCUUCCUAGUGGAGGAGUCAGAGGCAGAUGCCCUAUCUUAUUCACCCAUCAAGGUGCUUGCUCUAACUUUCCAAGGUUAUAUUGGUCGCACAUAUCUUGCAACUGAUGCUUUGCAUUACUUCUACUUUGUUGCACUGCCAUUAGCUUAGUUUACACAUCAUGUAUGUGAAUACGCCCUGCUUAUCAAUUUUUAGUACAUAUUCCAUCUGUCAUCAUACCAUAUUUAUCCGUUCAAAUGUUGUUCUUGUGUAUCAGACGUUCAAAAGGAAGAAGGUGAUUGCUGAUCGCGGAGGAGCAUGAGCAAAGUAUUUGGAAAAGGUAGUGACACCUGAUAAAUCAAAUAGCCCAUUAGGUGUAGUUAAAAUAUCACCUGACCCACAAAACACGGCCCCAACUCUAGCAGACUCUAGCCCUACUACACUGGUCAUCUCUAAUGCCCCAACUAAGGAGACCCCAACUGCAGCAAAUAGUAUGAUGAUGCCAGUUGACAUAGCACCAGCUCUACGACGCAAAACCCCCAUUCCAGCAAAGAUUACACCAAAUCCAGUUGCCCCUUUUCGAACCGGAGAGAGCCCCAAUUGCAGCAAAUAGGACCCCUGUUCCAUUUCUUCCCAGUUUAGAAGACGAAGCUUAUAUUGUUGUCAGGAACUUUGUGUGCAUCUUUUCUUCAUGAAAAGAUUAUACCGCGGACACAGAACAAUUUCCAGUCUUCCUCCACAACUUACGCGUAAGUAAUGUACUAAUGUUAUGCAUGGUAAUUACUGCAUAUGUUUCUGCUGACAGAAGACACAAGAUUUCAUUCUUUUAAAUAGGCGAGGACCAAACUAGAUUGUCAAGACGGGCAAGGGUUGGUUGUGCUUUUCAAGCACUCAUUGAUGAAGUAUCGUUCCUACCAGAGGCAAGCGCACUUCGAUGGCAAGCCUCUAAACGAAAUUUCUGUAAAGUCUCCGGUGCUACAUUUACCACACAGUGACUGGAAUAAUCUUUUCGCACAUUGGUCUCGUCUGCAGCAUAAGGUACUAUAUGAUAUCACAUCACAAUUUGAACUACAUUUCUGCAUGUGCCUUAACGUCUCACUUGUACGAAAAUUGUUUGCAGAAGAACAUUCAUUCUCAAGGGACCACAAAAUCUCGCAACUAUAAUGCACACUGCAUUGCUCUUGUGAGUACCUCUUGCCCUGUAUGACCAUACAUACUUUCAUAGCUGGUUGAUUAUGUAGCAUCACUGCACAUGUUAGCCUCGUUAUCGUCCAUUUGGUGGACAUUAUAAGAUCCGUAUGGACUCUUACAUAAAUUUAGAAUCAACCCAAUGCUUUUGAAGAGGUUUAGCUCUACAGUCCUCUUGUAAGGACUGAACGUCGUCUAUCACUGUACUUACAUUAAUAGCUACUCCCUCCGUCCCAUAAUAUAAGAACAUUUUGUACAGUACACCAGUGUUCAAAACACUCUUAUAUUAUGGGAAGAGGGAUUGGUUCAUUGUGUAGCAUUCUACAUCUUAUCUCCCUCGCCCACCAUUUACUAAAAAAUAUCAGAUCUAUAUUUAAUCUUACCAAAAAGUUGAAUACAUGGACAAUGCCAGUGCAGAAGUGUAGCCCAUUGCUCUUGUUAGUACAUUUUGUCCUGUAACGCUUGUACUUCCAGGGAUUGGUAGUUGAUUAUGUAGCAUCAAUCUGCAUCUUAUCUUCAUUAUCCUCUAUCCCUUCCAGUAUUAUCAUAUCUAUAAAUACUCUCUACAAAAUGUCGAGUACAGGCAAUGCUUCUGAAGAAGAUUAUGUGCUGAAUUGUUGAGUUAUCCUUCCCUUGACAUGGAGAAGGGCAUUAUAAAGCCGGUGUUAACUGUUAAUGUCAGUCAGUCCUUCUAAAGCCUUUAUCCUCAACUGUUGUUUAAUUUGAUCAUACUCCCUAUCGUUAACUGCUGUUUAGUUUGUUGUUUCUAUCAAAAUGCAUGUUCGCAACAACUAUAACUUCCAAGUUUUACUUGUAAAACCAAAUUCCUUAUUCAUACCAUGCACAUUACUCAAUACUCCCGAUAUGUAUGCUUGUUUUUGUGGAUCUAUAAUCUUGUGUGUGGUGAAGCAGCCCAUGUUUGCACCUUGUCAUCUCAUGUUUUAUCUUACUGAUGUGGCUGAUGAUAUGAACAAUAUGCCAUGCACAUUAAUCAAAAUAGAUACAAUGAUUGUCUUUGCCCUUCAUCUAUGCUUGUUAUGUUGACAUGGUAAUCCAGUAGUGUGGUGAUGUCAAGUUUUAAUCUCUUUGUUGAUCUCAAGCAAGCAAUUGUUUUCGUUAGUGGCACAAUUUCACCUCAAGUUUUGAGAUAUCUCCAUAAGCCCACGAAGAUCAUAUCCUUUCUUUGUUGAUUUUUCAACAACUCCGUUCUUUUCAUUGCAUUCUUUCAUUUCUACCGGAGGCGUUGUGAUAUCGCUCUCUUCGACCCAUCUUCUCGUUUUGUCAAGAUCAUCUUCUUUCCUUGCUUAUCCAUGUAACCGGAGUGUGGUGUCAUCUCUUCAAUUUCUUUUCAUCUUAUCAAGUUUCCUUCUCUUUUUCAACCGGAGUGCUGUCAAAAUUAUGUCAUUCUUGUUCCUUGACUAUCUCGUUAUAUCGGUGUGGUUUCAUAUUCUUUUGGUUCGUUAAGCCCUUGUUUCAUGUCAUUCAACCCACAAGGUUCUCAUAAUGUUCCUUGUUCUCCUUUUCUAACGGAGUGUUUGUAAUCUCGUUCAUCUUCGUUGUAUUCUUUUCUGAAAAUUGUUAACCUCUCAAGGUUCUUUGGUUUCACUCGUUUGUCAAAGAAGCAACUUUGUUUUACCUUUUCCUCUUCCGUUUCUCUCCGGUGCCAUCCUAGAUCUCGGGACGAGAUCCUCUCGUAGUAGUGGAGUGUUGUAACACCCCAGAUGUCACUUUCCAUAUUUGUAACUCCGACUCUUGCCAUUUUCGGCUAUGUGUUAUGAUUUUCCCUCCGUGGUUGGGUUUCGUUUUCGUUUUUGCAUUUUGUUCAUGUCAUGCAUCUCAUAUCAUGUCAUCAUGUGCAUCUCAUUUGCAUACGUGUUCGUCUCAUGCAUCCGAGCAUUUUCCCCGUUGUCUGUUUUGCAAUCCGACACUCCCACCUCCUUCGGCGCACCCCUCUUGUUUUCCUUUCGUGAGCGGGUGUUAAACGUUCUCGGAAUGGGCCGAGGCUUGCCAAGUGGCCUUGGUAUACCACCGGUAGACCACCUGUCAAGUUUCGUUCCAUUUGGAGGUCGUUUUAUGCUCCAAUGGUUAACCGGGUAACCGCAAAGUCCUUUUGUGUGUUGCAGCAAAAAAACCCCUCCAAGCAGCCCAAAACCCCUCUAAGUCUCCUCCAUGCUCUAGGUCGUUCGAUCACGAUCGUGUGGGCGAAAACCGCACUCCAUUUGGAGCCUCCUAGCUCCCUCCACCUAUAAAUGUGUGUCUCUCCCGGAUUUUCCACGCAGAUGAAACCCUAGCCCGCUCCCCUCGCGCCGCCGGACACGUCCGGCCCGAGCCGGNNNNNNNNNNNNNNNNNNNNNNNNNNNNNNNNNNNNNNNNNNNNNNNNNNNNNNNNNNNNNNNNNNNNNNNNNNNNNNNNNNNNNNNNNNNNNNNNNNNNNNNNNNNNNNNNNNNNNNNNNNNNNNNNNNNNNNNNNNNNNNNNNNNNNNNNNNNNNNNNNNNNNNNNNNNNNNNNNNNNNNNNNNNNNNNNNNNNNNNNNNNNNNNNNNNNNNNNNNNNNNNNNNNNNNNNNNNNNNNNNNNNNNNNNNNNNNNNNNNNNNNNNNNNNNNNNNNNNNNNNNNNNNNNNNNNNNNNNNNNNNNNNNNNNNNNNNNNNNNNNNNNNNNNNNNNNNNNNNNNNNNNNNNNNNNNNNNNNNNNNNNNNNNNNNNNNNNNNNNNNNNNNNNNNNNNNNNNNNNNNNNNNNNNNNNNNNNNNNNNNNNNNNNNNNNNNNNNNNNNNNNNNNNNNNNNNNNNNNNNNNNNNNNNNNNNNNNNNNNNNNNNNNNNNNNNNNNNNNNNNNNNNNNNNNNNNNNNNNNNCCGCCCUCGGUGCCCGCGCCGGCCGCCGCCGUCCUCCUCCGGCCCCGCGCGCCCCGAGCUCCGGCGAGCUCGAGCCGGCGAGCCUCGGCCCGAUCCGAUCUGGAUCCGCUGCUAGGGUUGACUCCCCCCAAUUUUUCUCCGUCCCGUAUGUUUUACAAUAUGUGCUCCUGUUCAUUGCAUCAUAACUCUCUGCAUAUAGCUCCGUUUCGUGCGUGUAAUAUAUCAAAAUGUUCGUCUCAAGAUGCUCUUCAUUUUGUUCCAUUAUGCGAUGUUCAUUUGAGUCCAUCUUGAUGCCCAAAUCUCUGGUGCAAGAGUGCUAGUUGCUGUUAACUGCUGUUACUUAUCGGAACAUGAGGAUUUGUUAUUUUUGUUGCAUUUGAUGUCUGCAUCUUAUGGGCAUGAGCCCUACAUGUGUUUUGAUGUAUGUCAUGCCAUCUUUAUAGAGAUUUAUUCCAUGUAUUUUUAUGAUCUAUGUGGUGACUAGCACAAGCAUGCAAAAUAGGCUUCGUGAUGUUUCUGAUUUCAGGGACUUGAUAAUUUUACCAAGUCUGUGACUGCUGUUAUUUUGUUGCUAUGUAUCCAUGUGCCUACAGAGAGAUCCAUGCUCCUUUUGGUGAUGUUCAGUAAGGAUGUUUUGUAGAUAUAGUUGUUUUAUAUGCAUCCAUGCCCUUGUUUGCAAUUAUGGAGCGCCACAGCAUGUCUUAAUCUUUCUAUACUUUUGCUAUAAAAUAUUUCUGGAAGAUUGUUUACGUGUUAUUCAAUUUUGCCAAGGUUGUUGUAGUUGUUUCAUACACGUUUUAAACUUGCUCUUGCCUUGGAUAGCUUCAUAAACAUGUCAUCUUGCUGUAGGUAUGCUUUUUUUGUAAUUUAUUGCUUUGUGGUGAGUGCAUCAAGCUCACCAACAUGCCUUCGUAAUACUGUUUCUGCCAUGCUGUGUUUUCUGCGAAGUCUGAAACCUGUUAACGAAACUUGCUAUGUUUACAUGGGUGCCAUCAUAUCUUCUGGUCCUUUUUGGCUUAUGGUCAGUAAGGGACUUUUGUUCUAUGCAUUUAGUAGAUUCAUGCCAUGCCUUGUUUUGCUAUGCUAAGUUACUGUAGCAUGUUGAUUUCAUGCUCUGAACAUUGCUACCUGAUGCUGUUUCAGCCAUGUCCAGUAAUUUCAUUGUCUGUGAACCUGAUAUCUUUUGCACUUUUGCCAUGCUUGAUUGAACAUGCUGUGGUGUGAUCUAGCCAUAGCUCAGUGUUCAUCUUUUGUCAAGCAUCUCCUGUAGAUUACUGUCACAUGUUUUGUUGCUAUGUUGGAGUGCUGUAGCAUAGUUACUUGUUGCAUUUUAAGUGCUAUCAUGCUGUUAAUCGCAGAUUUGUGUCAUUCUUGUUUUGCUUGCCAUUUGCAAACCGUGCAUCCGUUUCCGGUGAUCUUUAUAUCGAUUUUGACCAAAAUCAUCUCAUCUUUCCAGUGGCAUACUUGGUUUGCCAAGUUACUGCCUUGUUCAUCAUUUUUCUUCCGCAGCACGCAUACGCAUCGCAUACCACAUCUCGCAUAUCAUACAUGUUUUGCAUCAUGUUGCUUGUGCAUUCACGUGAUUGAUUGUGGUUCCAUUGCUUGUGUUCUUGCUGUGGGUAGAGCCGGGAGACGAGUUCGUGAACGAGGAACCUGUUGAGUACGCUUACGAGGAUCAAGCUUUCGACAACUCUGAGAACCUUGCAGGCAAGAUCACCAUACCGCGAAAUCACUUCUAUCUUUGCUUUGCUAGUUAUUCGUUCUAUUGCUAUGCUGCGCUACCUACCACUUGCUAUAUCAUGCCUCCCAUAUUGCCAUGUCAAUCCUCUAACCAUCCUUUCCUAGCAAACCGUUGUUUGGCUAAGUUACCGCUUUUGCUCAGCCCUUCUUAUAGCGUUGUUAGUUGCAGGUGAAGUUGAAGUUGGUUCCAUGUCGGAACAUGGAUAUUUUGGGAUAUCACAAUAUCUCUUAUUUAAUUAAUGCAUCUAUAUAUUUGUUAAAGGAUGGAAGGCUCGGCCUUAUGCCUGGUGUUUUGUUCCACUCUUGCCGCCCUAGUUUCCGUCAUACCGGUAUUAUGUUCCUUGAUUUUGCGUUCCUUACGCGGUUGGGUGAUUUAUGGGACCCCCUUGACAGUUCGCCUUGAAUAAAACUCCUCCAGCAAAGCCCAACCUUGGUUUUACCAUUUGCCACCUAAGCCUUUUCCCUUGGGUUUUCGCGAGCCCGAGGGUCAUCUUUAUUUAAACCCCCAGACCAGUGCUCCUUCGAGUGCUGGCCCAAACUGGGCGAUGUCCGGCGCCCCCUGGGCAACCAGGGUCUAUGCCAACCCGACGUCUUGCCCAUCCGGUGUGCCCUGAAAAUGAGAUAUGUGCAGCUCCUAUCGGGAUUUGUCGGCACAUUCGGGUGGCUUUGCUGGUCUUGUUUUACCAUUCUCGAAAUGUCUUGUAAACCGGGAUUCCGAGACUGAUCGGGUCGUUCCGGGAGAAGGUUUAUCCUUCAUUGACCGUGAGAGCUUAUAAUGGGCUAAGUUGGGACACCCCUGCAGGGUAUUAUCUUUCGAAAGCCGUGUCCACGGUUAAGAGGCAGAUGGGAAUUUGUUAAUGUCUGGUUGUAGAGAACUUGUCACUUGACCCAAGUAAAAUACAUCAACUGCGUGUGUAGCCGUGAUGGUCUCUUCUCGGCGGAGUCCGGGAAGUGAACACGGUUUGAGUUAUGCAUGAACGUAAGUAGUUUCAGGAUCACUUCUUGAUCAUUUCUAGCUUCGCGACCGUUGCGUUGCUUCUCUUCUCGCUCUCACUUGCGUAUGUUAGCCACCAUAUAUGCUUAGUGCCUGCUGCAGCUCCACCUUAUUACACCAUCCUUUCCUAUAAGCUUAAAUAGUCUUGAUCUCGCGGGUGUGAGAUUGCUGAGUCCUCGUGACUCACAGAUUCUACCAAACAGUUUCAGGUGCCGACGAUGCCAGUGCAGAUGACGAAACCGAGCUCAAGUGGGAGUUCGACGAGGAACGUGGUCGUUACUAUGUUUCUUUUCCUGAUGAUCAGUAGUGGAGCCCAGUUGGGACGAUCGGGGAUCUAGCAUUUGGGGUUAUCUUAUUUUCUUUUGGAUUUGACCGUAGUCGGCCUAUGUGUGGAUUUUUGGAUGAUGUAUGAAUUAUAUUUAUGUAUUGUGUGAAGUGGCGAUUGUAAGCCAACUCUCGUUAUCCCAUUCUUGUUCAUUACAUGGGAUUGUGUGAAGAUAACCCUUCUUGCGACAAUACCACAAUGCGGUUAUGCCUCUAAGUCGUGCCUCGACACGUGGGAGAUAUAGCCGCAUCGUGGGCGUUAUAGUUGAACUGUUGCCACCUUUAUCACGGGCCGUUAGAGGGGCGGAUGUCGCGUCGGACCAUAUAUGGCCCAUGGGCAGCACGAGCCAAUCCCAGGCCAAAAGACGCACCGGGCUGAAAUGGGCCCAUGUCUACAUCGGGCCUCUAACAGGCUGAAAUGUCACUGGGUCGUAAUUCUUCAAUCUAUGUUUGAGUGCUCUUGCGAAAGAAAAUAAUUUCGAAUGCAAAAAUGACUUCAAAAAUAUGAUAGGAUCGCGGAUUCCAUAUAUUUUUAUAGAAAGAAAGAUACUGUACUCUGCCCCCCCCCCGACUGUCACUCUAUGGCAAAGCUAAAGCUUUCCUGGCACUUGGUGAAUAAUAUUUCUAGAGGGACAAAUAAAAGCCCGGUUUUGACCUUUUGGCCCAAAUAUUCGGCGAACAAUUAACGGGCCAGAUCUGGCUUCGAGCCGGAAAUGGGCCAUGUUUAAACAGGCCGUUAUUGGGCUGGCCCACUAGUACCUGAGUAAAUAAUACAGGCCUUUGACUGGGCCAGCCUUUUUAACCUAUAUGGGCCUCUGUUGGGCCCUGCCACGUGUCGACAAAUCAUAGGCGCCUUCGGUCCAAUGGGUGGAUGACAUCUGUCCCAACGGUGAGCCGACACGUGGUUCCUCUUGCCAUUGCGAAUUUUACAUGUGGAAAAUCUCCAUUGGUCCGGGCUGUUAACGGGUUAUCGGAUCCAAACCGGAACCCGAUAGCUUAACGGCGACCCGUUACGGUGGAUGCCACGUGUCAGUCACCCUUGACGAAAGCACUUCUGUGACGCGCGAUUUAUCGUCAUGGAAGUGGACACUUCCGUGAUGAUAAUUUUGGUAAUGUCAUGGAACACUUCUAUGACAACACAAGUAUGCCUAUCUUGAUUCUGUCAUAAAAUCGUCAUGGAUGUACAUGCAUGACAGAAAACAUGACCUACUGUGACAAACAUGUAUCAUCUCAGAAGUGUAUUUUUUGUAGUGAUGCUUGUUAGCGAGAAUUUGCGCACGCAGAACAUAAAUAAUUAACCCGCAUAAAGGUUGAAACCAUUGCAUUCGAGUUUCUACCUUGGGACAUUCCCAUUGUCUUCCUUUUUCUGUAGUUUGUGUUGCUCUGUCAAGAUUCAAAUGGACUAGCAGGAGCAACACUCCUGGUUGUUAUGGGACUUUCAAUUUCCUCGCUUGGCUUACAUAGGUGUUUAAUAGCAGAUCGAGAAUGGAAUCAUACUACUGAACCAACAAUUGAAAUGUAAUAAGUAAUAAAAAAUAAUAUUAUUAUUCAGAUCAUACUCUAUAGGGGAAAGUAUAUUUUCCAUUCCUCAACUCUUUCGAAAGUAUAGAAAUCGUCCCUCAACUUCAAAACAAGCAAAACUUAGUCCAUCAACUUUUAAAACCAGAUAAGUUUAGUCCCUCGGAUAGUUUUGUGUGGACAUGGAGUGGUUUUUGAUUCAGAAACGUGCAGGAAAGGUGCUCGGCAUAAUGCCCAUCAAGCAGCAGUGCACAUGGGAGGUGAAAAAUGCAAGCAGUUGCGGCAGCGCAUGCCGACGGCGCCUGGCAAUGUGUGCAAUGAGCGAAUAUGGCGGCGGCACGGCUCAGUGCGCAUCAGCUCGGUGUCUCCACGAUGAGGCUGCCCAACAACAACCUGUGCAGGAUGCCUUUCUGGCGUUUCCUGCCUACGUGGUAGCUGCUGGAGUGCUGGAGGUAGGAUGCUCUUGUUCUCUUGUUGCUGCCACCGCUGGUGCUUGUGCACGAGCGCUCCGACUCUGACUGUUCAUGCAGGCCCUAAAAAACAAGCUUUGCACCUACAUUUCUUCAGUCCAUGUUGAGCUUGGACUUGACAUGGCUAUAACUAGGAUGGAAGGAGGGGCACCAACCGUGACGUUUUACAGGGGACGGGGAUCGCGAGCUCCUGCAAGGCACCGGUGCACAUUCGUGUUUGGUAGUGGAUGGUGGGCGCGUGAUUGCUCCCUGACUAUAGCGCCAGAAAGGUCCUAUCUGCUAGGACUACGUCGGUAUUUCCCCAAAGAAGAAGGGAUGAUGUAGCACAGCGAAGGUAGGUAUUUCCCUCAGUGAUGAAACCAAGGUUAUCGAACCAGUAAGAGAACCAAACAACACAGCGUAAACAACACUUGCACACAAAUAACAACACCUCGCAAUCCGACGUAUUAAAGGGGUUGUCAAUCCCUUUCCGGUAACGAUGCCAGAAAUUUGUAAUAGAUUGAAAUAAUAGAUCGCAAAUAAAAUAAAAUGCAGCAAAGUAUUUUUGUAUUUUUGGUUUAAUAGAUCUGAAUAAAAAUGCAAAGGAAAAGUAGAUCGCAAGCAAAUAUAUGAGAAAGAAGACCCGGGGGCCGUAGGUUUCACUAGUGGCUUCUCUCGAGAAAAAUAGCAAACGGUGGGUAAACAAAUUACUGUUGGGAAAUUGAUAGAACUUCAAAUAAUUAUGACGAUAUCCAGGCAAUGAUCAUUACAUAGGCAUCACGUCCAAGAUUAGUAGACCGACUCCUGCCUGCAUCUACUACUAUUACUCCACACAUCGACCGAUAUCUAGCAUACAUCUAGUGUAUUAAGUUCAUGGAAAAUGGAGUAAUGCAAUAAGAAUGAUGACAUGAUGUAGACAAGAUCCAUUUAUCUUUUGCGUAGAUAUAGAUCCCAUCUUUUUAUCCUUUGUAGCAACGAUACAUACGUGUCGUUUCCCUUUCUGUCACUGGGAUCAAGCACCGUAAGAUCGAACCCACUACCGGGCACCUCUUCCCAUUGCAAGAUAAAUAGAUCAAGUUGGAAAAAAAACUCAAAUAUCAGAGAAGAAAUAUGAGGCUAUAAGAGAUCAUGCAUAUAAGAGAUCAAAGAAACUCAAAUAACUUUCAUGGAUAUAAAAAUAUAUAACUGAUCAUAAACUCGAAGUUCAUCCGAUCCCAACAAACACACCGCAAAAAGAGUUACAUCAUAUGGAUCUCCAAGAGACCAUUGUAUUGAGAAUUUAGCGAGAGAGGGUAAGCCAUCUAGCUACUAACUACGGACCCGAAGGUCUACAAAGAACUACUCACGCAUCAUCGGAGAGGCACCAAUGGAGGUGGUGAACCCCAUCCGAGAUGGUGUCUAGAUUGGAUCUGGUGGUUCUGGACUCUGCGGCGGCUGGAUGAAUAUUUUGUCGACGUACUUAGGGUUUCUAGAUUUUUGGGGUAUUUAUAGAGCAAAGAGGCGAUCCGGGGGGCACCCGAGGUGGGCACAACCCACCAGGGCGCGCCUGGGCCUCCUGGCGCGCCCUGGUGGGUUGUCCCCUCCUCAGGACUCCCCCCAGGUGCAACUAGGGCCCAACUUCUUCCUUUUGGUCCAUAAAAAUCAUCAUAAAGUUUCGUGGCAUUUGGACUCCGCCUGAUAUUGAUUUCCUGCGAUGUAAAAACAUGCAGAAAACAACAAUUGGCACUUGGCACUAUGUCAAUAGGUUAGUACCAAAAAAUGAUAUAAAAUGAUUAUAAAACAUCCAAGAUUGAUAAUAAAACAGCAUGGAACAAUAAAAAAUUAUAGAUACGUUGGAGACGUAUCAGCGCACGAUCUUGUCGUAGCUCAAACUCGCUGCACGUCCGCGUCCCAAGUUCCAGGGUGCCUCAUCAUGGUCCGGUCCUCGGCAUCGAACGCGGCGGAGCCGCUUGCUUCUGCUCCUCAGCGCUCGUCGACACUGGCCAAUUGCCGAUGUGGCCGGGCAGCAGCAGGAUCUCGGCAUGUAAAAUUAGUUAAAGCAUAUGCUAACAGGCAGUGAUGCAUACGUGCUUAUAAGACAUUUGGUUGAGAUACGGUCGGUUAGCUACUUGAUCUGUACAAUAUACACAGCCUGUACAAUUUUCUAUACAAUGUAAUUCUAACUCAACCGACCCAUGAGAUCAAGGUACAACACACGCACGCACAAAUGUCAAAAACCACUCCACGUCUGGACGAAACCACCCUAAGCGGUAUGAGGGGCUAAACUUAUCCGGUUUUGAAAGUUAAGGGACUAAGAUUUACUGGUUUUGGAGUUGAGGGAUCAUUUGUAUACUUUCGAGAUAGUUGAAGGACGGAAAAUAUACUUUUCCCUACUCUACAUGAUUGCUUCCCAUGGCAAUACGAGGAUCCCUGAUUGAAGUAUAUUUGAUCUCAGAUUGACGAGGAAAGAAUUCCCUAAUGAUCUUCAAAAGGUCCAGCAUAUAUUCCCGGAUAUCUUUAGAAACCUGAAGUUCGUCCCCAAUGUUAUCAACUUCUUGAUCCAGCAACUUAGAUGCUUGGAUUGCCUCCCUUUGCAUACCCUUUCAAAACAUUAUUUUACAGUUGGUUGAUUGAAGCAUGAACACUGGAUAUUAGGUAAAACCACACGUUUUUGACAGAGGCAUGAACAUACCAGCAUGGCAGCAGAGACCUGCUCAGAGUAAGGCCCUUUGUAGGUGGUGAGAAUGUGGACCGCAACCUGCUGGACCUCAGUGCAAAAUUCAAAAUACAUUUGCCAGAGUCUACCCAGAAACUCAUCAGCAUUGAUUUUUUUGGAAAUGGAGGCAUACCCCCGGCCUCUGCAUCAUAAUGAUGCACGCAGCCAUCUUAUUAAAUAAUCCACGAAGUAGCACAAAGUCAUAAAAGUAUUACAGCUCGCAAGUGGAGCGAAGCAAAUGAAGAAGAAAAGUACAUGCUGACAAUCACAACCGGAACGGCAAUAUGAAGGAUAAGCUUCCUAAACUCCUAUCCUGUUAUGCGACCGCCAUUCGAACCGGUUGAAUAUAGCCUGUGCUACCAUCUCCCACUGGUUGCACCCAGUAACUGGAGGCUCCCUGGAUUCCAAAGGAGUGAGUAAGGACCACGUACGGAUCCAUGCGGUAGCUCUGAAGAUGACCUGCAAGAAAGUUAAAGUGUGUUGUCUGUUAAAAAUCAAAUCAUUUCUACAGUUCCAUAUAGCCCAUAGAAGCGCACAUAUUCCAAUCCGAAUACGAGCUGCAGUAGUAUGUUCAACCCAAGUUAACCAUGUUCCAAAUAACGACUCAAUGUCAACUGGAGGAUUAAUGUUGAAGGCUAUAUUAAUUGUUCUCCAAAGCAAUUUGGCGAGUGGGCAUUCAAGGAAUAAAUGUUGUAUUGUUUCAUCAUGAUCACAAAAACAACAACAUGAACUAUCUACCCAUCGCCUCUUGAUUAAGUUGUCCUUGGUGAGUAUUACUUGCUUGUGGACAAACCACAUGAAAAUUUUAAUAUGCAAGGGAACCUUAAUCUUCCAAAUAUGCAACGACUUCAAGAUCGGGCCAGAAUUAAUCAAAUCCAUAAAGAAUGAUUUCAUCGUAAAUACCCCAUUUUUAGCUAAUUUCCAUUGCAUCGAAUCCGGCUGGUCAGAGAGUUGAACAUCUAUCAAUCUCCGAACCAAGUACAUCCAUGUCGUCCAUCGCUUACCAACUAACGCGUGUCUGAACUGAAUAUUCAGGGGAAUCGUUUGGAAAAUUGUGCCUACGUAAUCCUCCUUACGUUGCACAAUGUUAUAAAGGGUGGGAUAUUGUAUGGCCAAAGGUGUCUCUCCUAACCACGUAUCCUACCAAAAUCUUGUUGACAUCCCAUUGCCAACCAAGAAUUUGACCCUACGAAAGAACAGUUCUUUUGUUCUCAUAAGCCCUUUCCAGAAUGGUGAGUCAGAUGGUCUCAUGGUAACCUGGGCAAGCGUUUUCGUCUGUAAAUACUUAUUACGCAAAAUCUGUGCCCAUAUGCCCUUCGGCUCCGUCUCUAACCUGUAAAGCCAUUUGCUCAUAAGGCAUUUAUUCUUGAUUUCUAAAUUCUCAAUACCGAGACCCCCCUGGUCUUUUGGUCGGCAAAAAAAUAUCCCAUCGUGCGAGACGGUAUUUCCUCUUGGCCUCAUUUGACUGCCAGAAGAACCGGGAUCUGAAGAAAUCAAGUCUCUUCCGUACCCCUUUCAGAAUUUCGAAGAACGAUAGUAGGAACAUCGGCAUACUAGUCAGUACCGAGUUAAUCAGCACUAGCCGACCUCCAUAAGACAUAAGCUUGCCCUUCCAGCAGCUAAGCUUCUUUUCAAUUCGGUCUUCGAUACACUUCCAUUCUUUAUUAGAUAACUUACAGUGGUGAAUCAGUAUAUCCAAAUAACUAAAUGGUAAAGAACCUAAUUCACACCCGAACAAUUGUCUAUAAGUUUCUUGCUCGUCUUUGGCCUUCCCAAAGCAGAACAACUCACUCUUGUGAAAGUUUAUCUUUAAACCAGACAAUUGUUCGAAGAGACAUAAUAUAAGUUUCAUAUUAUGCGCCUUAGCAAUGUCAUGUUCCAUGAAUAAGAUAGUGUCGUCAGCGUACUAUAAGAUGGAUACUCCUCCAUCGACCAGAUGAGGAACUAACCCCUCCACUUGACCAUGCUGCUUGGCCCUACCAAUAAGGAUGGCCAACAUAUCGAACACUAUAUUAAACAAGAGAGGAGACAUGGAAUCUCCUUGUCUCAAACCCUUGUGUGUCUGAAAGUAAUGGCCGAUAUCAUCGUUAACCUUGAUUCCGACACUACCCUUCUGGACUUGAGAACCCACUUGGUUCCGCCAGGCUUCACUAAAUCCUUUCAUACGCAUUGCCUGCUGAAGGAAAGGCCACUUAACUUUAUCAUAUGCCUUCUCAAAAUCCACUUUGAAGAUAACCCCAUCUAGCUUUUCGAAUGAAUUUCAUGUAACGUUUCAUGCAGAAGGACCACCCCUUUCAGUAUGUGUCGGCCUGGCAUGAACGUUGUCUGGCUCGGUUGUACCACUGAAUGAGCAAUCUAUGUCAAUCUAUUGGUACCCACCUUGGUGAAAAUUUUGAAACUCACGUUAAGAAGACAUAUGGUCCUAAAUUGUUCGGUGCGAACUGCCUCUUCUUUCUUUCGCAACAACGUAAUUAUGCCAAAGUUAAGAUGAAACAGCUUCAAAUGACCGUUAAAGAAAUCAUGAAACAUAGGCAUAAGAUCAUCCUUAAUAAUAUGCCAACAUUUCUUAUAGAAUUCAGUUGGAAACCCAUCUGGUCCUGGUGCUUUAUUCGGUUUCAUUUGUGAGAUUGCAUCUAGAACCUCCUUCUCAGUAAACGGUGCAGCUAGAAUAUCAUUCUCCUCUGCCUGGAGUUGAGGUAUAUCUCUAAUAACAGAUUCAUCUAGAGCCACCGUGCUUGCUUCCGGAGGCCCAAAGAGUUGUUUAUAGUAAUUAGAGAUAUAAGCUUUCAGAUUCUCAUGCCCCAAAAUUGUCCCCUCGUCCUGUUCAAGCUGAAUGAUUUUCUUCUUCCUAUGUUUGCCAUUCGCAAUCAUAUGGAAAAAUUGUGUAUUGUCAUCCCCUUGGACAACCUUAAUCACUUUAGCAUGCAAUGCCCACUUGAGCUCCUCUUCUCUAAGAAGAGCUCGUAAGCCUUGCUCGGCUUCGGACUUGGAGCUUUGCUCAUUAACCGUAAGAAGGUUACUUUCAGCUUUUUAAAUCUAGUCAAUCAAUUGAGUGAGUCGCUCUUUUUCUUGUUUGUAAAUCCCACUCUCGUUUCUAGCCCAACCUCGCAAAAACUGUCUCAGGUGUCUGAUUUUAUUUUGCCAUUUCUCAAUACUAGUUCUUCCACUAACAGGUUUUGCCCAUUCGCGUGCAAUGAUCUCCAAAAAGUUUUCUUUCUCGAACCUACCUAGUUCGAAGGAGAAAGAAUUCUUGUUCGCAACGUGCGUAGCCUCUCCCGAGUCUACAAGAAGUGGUGUGUGGUCUGAGAUCGCUCUCUGCAUCGCAUGAACCGACACCAAUGGGUACUUUUGUUCCCAUUCCACACUAGUAAGUACCCUAUCCAACUUCUCAUACGUCGGAGUGGGCAGCGAAUUGGCCCGUGUAAAUUGUCUACCGGUGAGCUCAAUUUCUCUCAAAUUAAGACUCUUGAUAACCAUGUUAAACAUCAUAGACCAACGUCCAUCAAAAUUGUCAUUGUUCUUUUCAUCUCUCCUCUGAAUUAUAUUAAAAUCCCCACCGACUAGGAUUGGCAGAGUUUCAUCUCCACAGAUUCUCACCAAUUCGGCUAAAAAAUCAGGUUUGAGUUCCGGUUGUGUUGCCCCAUACACAGCCACGAGAGACCAUCAGAAACCAUCCAAUUUUGAUCUCACCCGAAACUUGACCGCAAAAUCUCCCCGAACCACGUUAAGCACCUCAAGUGUUUCACAUCGAACCCCUAGUAAAAUCCCGCCAGAUCUUCCUCUAGGAGGUAGGACGUGCCAAUCAAAAUCAAUUCCUCCGGAAAGAGUUGUAAGGAACUGUGAGGUAAAGUUAUCUCACCGUGUUUCCAUUAGUGCAAUAAAAUCUAAAAGUUUCUCUAUCGUUGUCUCAUCCAAGAACCUUCGUUUAGCCAAGUCAGCUAGACCUCUGCUAUUCCAAAAGAUUCCUUUCAUAAGUCAUCAUGGAAUUUUUUCUUAAGCUUAACCCUAGCGCUUCUACGAACCGCCGAAGUGGGAUAAAUUUUCCGUUUCCAGGGUCGCUUGGGCUUCUCUCCUGCACCCUUCGAAAACAUUGGAUCGGCAGUACAUGAGACAUUGCCCUCCAUCAUUAGAGGCUCUACAGUGUCUGUAGUUUCCGACUCCUCCUCAUCUUCGGCCUCCGCACUAUGCAAGAGAUUAUUGCGAAUGUUUGCAAGGGCAUCCAUUCCUAAAGUUUUCAUGUCAUCGUCAUUCAUAGGUUUUCCGAAUUAUUUCUGAAGCCCGCUCUGCUUCUAAGUCUAAAAGAUCAUUCACGGAUUUCGCAACCUCCGUCUCAUUUGAACCCAAAGAAAUACCUAAGUUGUUUGCUUUAUCAACUAUUUCAUGCUCGAUGAAAUGAAGAAUUGAACAACUCUUAUCGAACGACAUACCUGUAUUUGCCUCGACAUCUUGAAGCAUGGAAACCCUCUUGGCGCGCGCUAUCUGUAGGUCGUCAGCAUCCGGCUGCUAACACGCCUGCCGGCCGUCACCGGAUUCGUGAUCCCACCGAAAGUGAUAAGCUCCUCCGUCGUCCUCUCCCGAGGCGUAUCCACCCGACUCCCACACCCUUCCCUUAGCGCUGGUGAAGAAGGGUAAGGUGUGGUCGAGUGGGUAGCGCCAAUGGUAGUAAUGGGGGAAGGAGACCGUGGAGCCACCUGCUCUAUAGUCCCACUCCCCCCUCGGCAUCCAAGCAUAUGUCCCCUGUCCAUGCUGCCCGGCUGGGUCCCGCGAAGAGGAGAGGCCGCGGGCCUCCUGCCCGCGUCCCUCCUCCAGCUCAGUCGGAGCCGCCGGAUGAGGGAGGGCUUCGUGGACCUCCUAUCCGGGCCCCUCCCCCGAGAAGCUCGAGGCCAUCGCAUCAGGGUGGGCGCUACGGGCCUCCUGCCCACGGCACCCCCCACUCACACUCAGGACAUCAGUGCGAACCAAAGGUCGUAGGAGUCAUCGGGGCACGCAUGUCCGCCGUGACCAGGCCACCGCCAGCUCGAGUGUGCCGUGCCUCCUGGGUGGUUGGCUCUGGGGUAGUCAUCGCCUCCCUCGGCGCGACCGUCAACCCGGCGUCCGCCCGCUGAGAAGAUAGACCUGUCGGCCACUCACAAGGGAGCAUCAUCGGUGGUAACUCACGUUCCACCGGAUCGUCCGCCUCUACUCGGUUGCUCCAUAACCGACUAGGCGUAGACCUCACGCCAAAAGUGCCAAACCGAAGUGUGUUCAUCAGAGUUGUGGAUGGUGGUGCCUCUUUGGCAGACAUAUCCGUCUUAUCUGGCUAUGAAUUCGGCCCCGUAACCGUGUCCCGUGGCGCACUCUCGGGCCCCUUAUCCUGAUUUCCGGGGGCUCCGUCCCCCUCAGUAGUGUACGUAUCCUUAUACUCAUCCCCCUCCUGAGGAAUCGGUGUGUCCUCAAUCUCGAUCUCUAGGACGUAAGUGACUCCGGCAUGUGUCCAGCUAACUACAUCCGAUACAAACUCAACGCUGACUACACUAACAAGUAACCUCGCCGCACCCUGUGCACGAGUGAAAGGCAUGUCCACCUGAUCCGUCUUACCAAUAAAAGAUCCCAAGCUCCAGGCUACCAGAAAGUGAUUAAUCGUUUUGGGUGGUGCACCAUAGAACCGUAGCCAUACCUUCUCUAAAGGUGUGCCCACUGGUUGCGGCUGCUUCCACUCAUCGAAAGCCAUGAUAAUGUUGGUGCUCGGAACUCUGCACAAACCCCACUUAAGAAUAUGUAAUUGAUCCUCUUUAGUGGGAAAAUCCACCUUGUAAGUCUGGUUCUCCAACUUGUCAAUAUGCCACUGAUAGUUACCCGGUACCAACUCUCGCAGCUGCCUCACAAUGUGAGCCUCUGUCAUGUUCCCGUUGGUAACCUUAACCACUGCUGGGAAAGAACUCUCCACCACGUGUGUCAAAGGUGCCACCUCAGGAGACUCAAAAAACAUCAACUCUUUGCAGCAGACUCCAAAAAUGUUUACCCCUGGCUUGGGGCCGGACAGGAGUGGGCAAUCACUGGUCGCAUGCUGCGACAAAGUGCCCCGGUUCACCACAUCUAUAGCAAGGUAGUUUCUUCUUCUUAAUUGCCCACUUCGAAAGUUUUUCUCCUUCCAGUUUUUCCGAGCCUUUGUCCGUCCCACCAUCACUUAUCUUAGCAGCUCCAGUGGCCGCCGGAAUAGAGACCGCUGCCAGGGCCCUGACUGUGUCUACAGCCACCGCGGGCAGAGUAGGUAUAGCCGCCGCCGUAGUUGCUGCGAUGUCCAUCACCGCCCCCGGGGGCGUGUGAGCCGUGUCAGCCGGCGGUGGUGGAGGUGGACGCGGUGGAGGUGGGCGCCUUCCACCCCCUCUCCCGCCGCGGUGAUAUGCCCCCGGUAACAGUCAUUGGGGCCGGCAACUCCUUCAACAAAAUUCCCGGGUGGACCCGGAAAACCAUGUCCUUGGCCGCCGCCAUUGUGCCAGUUGUAACCUCGACCGCCACCCGAGGAUGACCCAUGGUGCUGACCCUCGCCUUACACAUCGUAGCCAUCAUCACCCCACUGCCCGUACCGAUUGAAUUGAUUGUUGGGGAACGUAGUAAUUUCAAAAAAAUUCCUACGCACACGCAAGAUCAUGGUGAUGCAUAGCAACGAGAGGGGAGAGUGUUGUCCACGUACCCUCAUAGACCGAAAGCGGAAGCGUUAUGACAACGCGGUUGAUGUAGUCGUACGUCUUCACGAUCGACCGAUCCUCAGUAUCGAACGUACGGCACCUCCAUGUUCUGCACACGUUCAGCUCGAAGAUGUCCUGCGAACUCACGAUCCAGUAGAGCUUCGCCGGAGAGUUUCGUCAGCACGACGGCGUGAUGACGGUGAUGAUGAUGCAACCGAUGCAGGGCUUCGCCCAAGCACCUCUACGAUAUUACCAAGGUGGAUUAUGGUGGAGGGGGCACCGCACAUGGCUAAGAGAUCAAUGAUCAAUUGUUGUGUCUCCAAGGGGUGCCCCCCUCCCCGUCUAUAAAGGAGUGGAGGAGGGGGAGGGGGUCGGCCUCCUAUGGCGCGCCCCAUGAGGAGUCCUACUCCCACCGGGAGUAGGACUCCCCCCUUCCAAGUAGGAGUAGGAGAGGAGAAGGAAGGGAGAGAAGGAGAGAAGGAAAGGGGGGCGCCCCCCCCCUCCUUGUCCAAUUCGGACAAGAGGGGAGGGGCGCGCGGCUGCCCUGGCCGCCCCUCCUCUUCUCCCACUAGGGCCCAUUAGGCCCAAUAUACUCCCCGGGGGGUUCCGGUAACCCCCGGUACUCCGGUAUAUGUCCGAAACCUCCCGAAACACUUUCGGUGUCCAAACAUAGUCGUCAAAUAUAUCGAUCUUUAAGUCUCAACCAUUUCGAGGCUCCUCGUCAUGUCUGUCAUCAUAUCCGGGGCUCCGAACUACCUUCGGUACAUCAAAACACAAAAACUCAUAAUACCGAUCGUCACCGAACUUUAAGCGUGCGGACCCUACGGGUUCAAAAACUAUGUAGACAUGACCGAGACACAUCUCCAGUCAAUAACCAAUAGCGGAACCUGGAUGCUCAUAUUGGUUCCUACAUAUUCUACGAAGAUCUUUAUCGGUCAAACCGCAUAACAACAUACGUUGUUCCCUUUGUCAUCGGUAUGUUACUUGUCCGAGAUUCGAUCGUCGGUAUCUCAAUACCUAGCUCAAUCUCGUUACCGGCAAGUCUCUUUACUCGUUAUGUAAUGCAUCAUCCCGCAACUAAAUCAUUAGUUGCAUUGCUUGCAAGGCUUAUAGUGAUGUGCAUUACCGAGAGGGCCCAGAGAUACCUCUCCGACAAUCGGAGUGACAAAUCCUAAUCUCGAUCUAUGCCAACUCAACAAGUACCAUCGGAGACACCUGUAGAGCACCUUUAUAAUCACCCAGUUACGUUGUGACGUUUGGUAGCACACAAAGUGUUCCUCCGGUAAUCGGGAGUUGCAUAAUUUCAUAGUCAUAGGAGCAUGUAUAAGUUAUGAAGAAAGCAAUAGCAGUAAACUAAAACGAUCAAGUGCUAAGCUAACGGAAUGGGUCAAGUCAAUGACAUCAUUCUCCUAAUGAUGUGAUCCCGUUUAUCAAAUGACAACUCAUGUCUAUGGUUAGGAAACUUAACCAUCUUUGAUCAACGAGCUACUCAAGUAGAGGCAUACUAGUGACACUCUGUUUGUCUAUGUAUUCACAUAUGUAUUAUGUUUCCGGUUAAUACAAUUCUAGCAUGAAUAAUAAACAUUUAUCAUGAAAUAAAGAAAUAAAUAAUAACUUUAUUAUUGCCUCUAGGGCAUAUUUCCUUCAGUCUCCACUUGCACUAGAGUCAACAAUCUAGUUCACAUUGCCAUGUGAUUUAACACCAAUAGUUCACAUCACCAUGUGACCAACACUCAAAGGGUUUACUAGAGUCAAUAAUCUAGUUCACAUCGCUAUGUGAUUAACACCCAAAGAGUACUAAGGUGUGAUUAUGUUUUGCUUGUGAGAGAAGUUUAGUCAACGGGUCUGCCACAUUCAGAUCCGUAUGUAUUUUUGCAAAUUUCUAUGUCAACAAUGCUCUGCACGGAGCUACUCUAGCUAAUUGCUCCCACUUUCAAUAUGUAUCCAUAUUGAAACUUAGAGUCAUCUGGAUCAGUGUUAAAACUUGCAUCGACGUAACCCUUUAUGACGAACCUUUUGUCACCUCCAUAAUCGAGAAACAUAUCCUUAUUCCACUAAGGAUAAUUUUGACCGCUGUCCAGUGAUCCACUCCUAGAUCACUAUUGUACUCCCUUGCUAAACUCAGUGUAGGGUAUACAAUAGAUCUGGUACACAGCAUGGCAUACUUUAUAGAACCUAUUGCUGAGGCAUAGGGAAUGACUUUCAUUUUCUUUCUAUCUUCUGCCGUGGUCGGGCUUUGAGUCUUACUCAAUUUCACACCUUGUAACAUAGGCAAGAACUCUUUCUUUGACUGUUCCAUUUUGAACUACUUCAAAAUUUUGUCAAGGUAUAUGUACUCAUUCAAAAAACUUUAUCAAGCGUCUUGAUCUAUCUCUAUAGAUCUUGAUGCUCAAUAUGUAAGCAGCUUCACAGAGGUCUUCCUUUGAAAAAACUCCUUUCAAAUACUCCUUUAUGCUUUCCAGAAAAUUCUACAUUAUUUCUGAUCAACAAUAUGUCAUUCACAUAUACUUAUCAGAAAUGUUGUAGUGCUCCCACUCACUUUCUUGUAAAUACAGGCUUCACUGUAAGUCUGUAUAAAACUAUAUGCUUUGAUCAACUCAUCAAAGCGUAUAUUCCAACUCCGAGAUGCUUGCACUAGUCCAUAGAUGGAUCGCUGGAGCUUGCACAUUUUGUUAACACCUUUAGGAUCGAUAAAACCUUCUGGUUGCAUCAUAUACAACUCUUCUUUAAUAAAUCCAUUAAGGAAUGUAGUUUUGACAUCCAUUUGCCAGAUUUCAUAAAAUGUGGCAAUUUGCUAACAUGAUUCGGACAGACUUAAGCAUCGCUACGAGUGAGAAAAUCUCAUCGUAGUCAACACCUUUAACUUUGUCAAAAACCUUUUCUUACAAGUCUAGCUUUGUAGAUAGUAACACUACUAUCAGUGUCCGUCUUCCUCUUGAAGAUCCAUUUAUUUUCUAUGGCUUGCCGACCAUUGGGCAAGUCAACCAAAGUCCACACUUUGUUCUCAUACAUGGAUCCCAUCUCAGAUUUCAUGGCCUCAAGCCAUUUCGCGGAAUCUGGGCUCAUCAUCGCUUCCUCAUAGUUUGAGGUUCGUCAUGGUCAAAUAACAUGACCUUCAGAACAGGAUUACCGUACCACUCUGGUGCGGAUCUCACUCUGGUUGACCUACGAGGUUCGGUAGUAACUUGAUCUGAAGUUACAUGAUCAUCAUCAUUAGCUUCCUCACUAAUUGGUGUAGGAGUCACAAGAACAGAUUUCUGUGAUGAACUACUUUUCAAUAAGGGAGCAGGUACAGUUACCUCAUCAAGUUCUACUUUCCUCCCACUCACUUCUUUCGAGACAAACUCCUUCUCUAGAAAGGAUCCAUUCUUAGCAACGAAUCUCUUGCCUUCGGAUCUGUGAUAGAAGGUGUACCCAACUGUCUCCUUUGGGUAUCCUAUGAAGACACAUUUCUCCGAUUUGGGUUUGAGCUUAUCAGGAUGAAACUUUUUCACAUAAGUAUCGCAACCCCAAACUUUAAGAAACGACAACUUUGGUUUCUUGCCAAAUCACAGUCCAUAUGGUGUCGUCUCAACGGAUUUAGAUGGUGCCCUAUUUAACGUGAAUGCAGCUGUCUCUAAUGCAUAACCCCAAAAUGAUAGUGGUAAAUCGGUAAGAGACAUCAUAGAUUGCACCACAUCUAAUAAAGUACAGUUACGAUGUUCGGACACACCAUUACGUUGUGGUGUUCCAGGUGGCGUGAGUUGUGAAACUAUUCCGCAUUGAUUCAAAUGAAGACCAAACUCGUAACUCAAAUAUUCUCCUCCACGAUCAGAUCGUAGAAACUUUAUUUUCUUGUUACGAUGAUUUUCCACUUCACUCUGAAAUUAUUUGAACUUUUCAAAUGUUUCAUCUUUAUGAUUCAUCAAGUAGAUAUACCCAUAUCUGCUCUAAUCAUCUGUGAAGGUCAGAAAAUAACGGUACCUACCGCGAGCCUCAACACUCAUCGGACUGCAUACAUCAGUAUGUAUUAUUUCCAACAAGUCUGCUGCUCGCUCCAUUGUUCCAGAGAACGGAGUCUUAGUCAUCUUGCCCAUGAGGCAUGGUUCGCAAGCAUCAACUGAUUCAUAAUCAAGUGAUUCCAAAAGCCCAUCAGCAUGGAUUUUCUUCAUGCGCUUUACACCAAUAUGACCUAAACGGCAGUGCCACAAAUAAGUUGCACUAUCAUUAUUAACUUUGCAUCUUUUAGCUUCAAUAUUAUGAAUAUGUGUAUCACUACGAUCGAGAUUCAAUAAACCAUUCACCUUGGGUGUAUGAUCAUUGAAGGUUUUAUUCAUGUAAACAGAACAACAAUUAUUCUCUGACUUUAAAUGAAUAGCCGUAUUACAAUAAACAUGAUCAAAUCAUAUUCAUGCUUAACGCAAACACCAAAUAACAUUUAUUUAGGUUCAACACUAAUCCUGAAAGUAUAGGGAGUGUGCGAUAAUGAUCAUAUCAAUCUUGGAACUACUUCCAACACACAUCGUCACCUCGCCCUUAACUAGUUUAUGUUCAUUCUGCAACUCCCGUUUCGAGUUACUACUCUUAGCAACUGAACCAGUAUCAAAUGCCGAGGGGUUGCUAUAAACACUAGUAAAGUACAACAUCAAUAACAUGUAUAUCCAAUAUACCUUUGUUCACUUUGCCAUCCUUCUUAUCCGACAAAUACUUGGGGCAGUUCCGCUUCCAGUGACCAGUCCCUUUACAGUAGAAGCACUGAGUCUCAGGCUUAGGUCCAGACUUGGGCUUCUUCACUCGAGCAGCAACUUGCUUGCCAUUCUUCUUGAAGUUCCCCUUCUUCCCUUUGCCCUUUUCUUGAAACUAGUGGUCUUGUCAACCAUCAACACUUGAUGCUUUUCUUGAUUUCUACCGUCGUCGAUUUCAGCAUCAUGAAGAGCUUGGGAAUCGUUUCCGUUAUCCCUUGCAUAUUAUAGUUCAUCACGAAGUUCUAGUAACUUGGUGAUAGUGACUAGAGAACUCUAUCAAUCACUAUCUUAUCUCGAAUAUUAACUCCCACUUGAUUCAAGUGAUUGUAGUACUCAGACAUUCUGAGCACAUGCUCACUAGCUGAGCUAUUCUCCUCCAUCUUGUAGGCAAAGUACUUGUCAAAGGUCUCAUACCUUUCGACAUGGGCAUGAGUUUGAAAUAAUAAUUUCAACUCUUGGAACAUAUCAUAUGCUCUGUGGCAUUAAAACAAAAUGUCUUUGAAGCCCCGAUUCUAAGCCGUAAAGCAUGGUGCACUAAACUAUCAAGUAGUCAUCAUAUCGAGCUUGCCAAACGUUCAUAACGUUUGCAUUUGCUCCUGCAUCGGUCUAUCACCUAGCGGUCAUCAAGGACAUAAUUCUUCUGUGCAGCAAUGAGGAUAAUCCUCAGAUCACGGAUCCAAUCCGCAUCAUUGCUGCUAACAUUUUUCAACUUAGCUUUCUCUAGGAACAUAUCAAAAAUAUAACAGGGAAGCUAAACGCGAGCUAUUGAUCUACAACAUAGAUAUGCUAAUACUACCAGGACUAAGUUCAUGAUAAAUUAAAGUUCAAUUAAUCAAAUUACUUAAGAACUCCCACUUAGAUAGACAUCCCUCUAAUCAUCUAAGUGAUCAUGUGAUCCAUAUCAAUUAAACCAUGUCCGAUCAUCACGUGAGAUGGAGUAGUUUUCAAUGGUGAACAUCACUAUGUUGAUCAUAUCUACUAUAUGAUUCACGCUCGACCUUUCGGUCUCAGUGUUCCGAGGCCAUAUCUGCAUAUGCUAGGCUCGUCAAGUUUAACCCGAGUAUUCUACGUGUGCAAAACUGGCUUGCACCCGUUGUAUAUGAACGUAGAGCUUAUCACACCCGAUCAUCACGUGGUGUCUCGGCACGACGAACUUUGGCAACGGUGCAUACUCAGGGGGAACACUUGUACCUUGAAAUUUAGUGAGAGAUCAUCUUAUAAUGCUACCGUCAAUGAAAGCAGAAUAAGAUGCCAAAAGGAUAAGCAUCACAUGCAAUCAAUAUAAGUGAUAUGAUAUGGCCAUCAUCAUCUUGUGCCUUUGAUCUCCAUCUCCAAAGCACCGUCAUGAUCACCACCGUCACCAGCGCGACACCUUGAUCUCCAUCGUAGCAUCGUUGUCGUCUCGCCAACUAUUGCUUCUACGACUAUCGCUACCGCUUAGUGAUAAAGUAAAGCAAUUGCAGGGCGAUUGCAUUGCAUACAAUAAAGCGACAACCAUAUGGCUCCUGCCAGUUGCCGAUAACUUCGUUACAAAACAUGGUCAUCUCAUACAAUAAAAUAUAGCAUCAUCCCUUGACCAUAUCACAUCACAUCAUGCCCUGCAAAAACAAGUUAGACGUCCUCUACUUUGUUGUUGCAAGUUUUACGUGGCUGCUACGGGCGGAGCAAGAACCGUUCUUACCUACGCAUCAAAACCACAACGAUAUUUCGUCAAGUUAUUGUUGUUUUAACCUUCAACAAGGACCGGGCGUAGUCACACUCGGUUCAACUAAAGUUGGAGAAACUGACACCCGCCAGCCACCUGUGUGCGAAGCACGUCGGUAGAACCAGUCUCGCGUAAGCGUACGCGUAAUGUCGGUCCGGGCCGCUUCAUCCAACAAUACCGUCGAACCAAAGUAUGACAUGCUGGUAAGCAGUAUGACUUGUAUCUCCCACAACUCACUUGUGUUCUACUCGUGCAUAUAACAUCUACGCAUAAACCUGGCUCGGAUGCCACUGUUGGGGAACGUAGUAAUUUCAAAAAAAUUCCUACGCACACGCAAGAUCAUGGUGAUGCAUAGCAACGAGAGGGGAGAGUGUUGUCCACGUACCCUCGUAGACCGAAAGCGGAAGCGUUAUGACAACGCGGUUGAUGUAGUCGUACGUCUUCACGAUCGACCGGUCCUUAGUAUCGAACAUACGGCACCUCCGUGUUCUGCACACGUUCAGCUCGGAGACGUCCUGCGAACUCACGAUCCAGUACAGCUUCGCCGGAGAGUUUCGUCAGCAUGACGGCGUGAUGACAGUGAUGAUGAUGCUACCGACGCAAGGCUUCGCCCAAGCACCUCUACGAUAUUACCAAGGUGGAUUAUGGUGGAGGGGGGCACCACACACGGCUAAGAGAUCAAUGAUCAAUUGUUGUGUCUCCAAGGGGUGCCCCCCUCCCCGUAUAUAAAGGAGUGGAGGAGGGGGAGGGGGCCGGCCUCCUAUGGCGCGCCCCAUGAGGAGUCCUACUCCCACCGGGAGUAGGACUCCCCCCUUCCAAGUAGGAGUAGGAGAGGAGAAGGAAGGGAGAGAAGGAGAGAAGGAAAGGGGGCGCCCCCCCCCCCCCCUCCUUGUCCAAUUCGGACUAGAGGGGGAGGGGGAGCGCGGCUGCCCUGGCCGCCCCUCCUCUUCUCCCACUAGGGCCCAUUAGGCCCAAUAUACUCCCCGGGGGGUUCCGGUAACCCCCGAUACUCCGGUAUAUGUCCGAAACCCCCCGAAACACUUCCGGUGUCCGAACAUAGUCGUCAAAUAUAUCGAUCUUUAAGUCUCAACCAUUUCGAGACUCCUCGUCAUGUCUGUGAUCAUAUCCGGGACUCCGAACUACCUUCGGUACAUCAAAACACAAAAACUCAUAAUACUGAUCGUCACCGAACUUUAAGCGUGUGGACCCUACGGGUUCGAGAACUAUGUAGACAUGACCAAGACACGUCUCCGGUCAAUAACUAAUAGCGGAACCUGGAUGCUCAUAUUGGUUCCUACAUAUUCUACGAAGAUCUUUAUCGGUCAAACCGCAUAACAACAUACGUUGUUCCCUUUGUCAUCGGUAUGUUACUUGCCCGAGAUUCGAUCGUCGGUAUCUCAAUACCUAGCUCAAUCUCGUUACCGGCAAGUCUCUUUACUCGUUAUGUAAUGCAUCAUCACGCAACUAACUCAUUAGUUGCAUUGCUUGCAAGGCUUAUAGUGAUGUGCAUUACCGAGAGGGCCCAGAGAUACCUCUCCGACAAUCGGAGUGACGAAUCCUAAUCUCGAUCUAUGCCAACUCAACAAGUACCAUCGGAGACACCUGUAGAGCACCUUUAUAAUCACCCAGUUACAUUGUGAUGUUUGGUAGCACACAAAGUGCUCCUCCGGUAAUCGGGAGUUGCAUAAUCUCAUAGCCAUAGGAACAUGUAUAAGUUAUGAAGAAAGCAAUAGCAGUAAACUAAAACGAUCAAGUGCUAAGCUAACGGAAUGGGUCAAGUCAAUCACAUCAUUCUCCUAAUGAUGUGAUCCCGUUUAUCAAAUGACAACUCAUGUCUAUGGUUAUGAAACUUAACCAUCUUUGAUCAACGAGCUAGUCAAGUAGAGGCAUACUAGUGACACUCUGUUUGUCUAUGUAUUCACACAUGUAUUAUGUUUCCGGUUAAUACAAUUCUAGCAUGAAUAAUAAACAUUUAUCAUGAAAUAAAGAAAUAAACAAUAACUUUAUUAUUGCCUCUAGGGCAUAUUUCCUUCAUUAAUGACCAUCUCUGCCGUAUCCGCCGUAGCCAUGGCCAUCACAGCCCUGAUUUGCACCGCGACCACGCCCUAGGGCAUGUGCUUGGCCGCCGCCGGCUGUGCCGGCUCCUCCAGCUGCCGCGCGUUCGGCCGGCUAGCAACAUGCGGCGGACCUGAGGCUUGUGGUCCUGCAGCGGCCGAUGGCGGUUGCCUCGCAGGAGGUGGAGCUCCCCACCCAGCCCCAGUGGCGGGCGGCGGCGGUUGCCUCGCAGGAGGUGGAGCACCCCGGCCGGACCCAGCGGCGGGGGGCGGCCCUUGCCUGGCGGGCGACGGGCCUCCGCUGUGACACCCAAGUUUCUAUUGAAUUUUUCAAAAAGAUUUUUAUUUGACUUGAAGGGAGUGAUUUAAAAAUUUUCUUCAAGAGAACUCUCACUCUCAAAUAUUUUUCUUUAUGGCAAAAAUUUUAUUUGAAUUCACCCAAGAUCUGCCUUUGACCUGGGGAGUUCUUGCUCUUCAUUUGGGCUCAAGACAAAAUGUUUUUCAUUUGAGAGCAUAACUUUUGAAAACCUUUUCUUGAAUUUGCACUAUGGCUUUUGGAAAGUACUUUGCCACUUUCAACUAUUCCUUCUUGCCAUGGCAUAAGUGCAAAUCCUCUCUCCUAAACACUCCCUCACCUCUGGAUCAUGAUUUACAUCAAAUCCAGCAAGUUGAACCUCCCCAUGUAUUUAUUUUCUAUUCAAAUUCUAUUCAAAUAUUUUCUGCCUUCUAUUCUACCUCUUGGAGAUUUACAAAGGAACUCCAUUUUCUGUUUGGACUUUUACCACCAAACUUCUUUCCCCUCCUAGUCCUUUGAACCCUCAACCUAGAACCAUGAAGAUCCACUGGUCUCCAGUUCAAAAUUUUCAAACUACAUCAGCUGCAAGUUUGGACCAGAUUUGCCAAAUUUGGUGAAAUUCAUUCAAAACCUUCUCCAAAAAUUCCAAGUAAAUUCAGGCAGCCCCUGGGUGCUUUGAGUGAUCGUCUCACCAAGUUACAGCUCCAGAAAAAUUUAUCCCUUUACCAAAACCUACUGUCGAACACCUGCAAUGCUUGGUCACUGUCAAGAUUCAGUAAGUUCAGAGUUCAGUCAAGUGGCUGCUGUCGUUUUCUUCAGAAACGGGCGUCGAUCUCACCAGUACCCUCGCGUCGCCUUGCUCCUCGUCCUCGCCCUCUCGUUCCUGCACCGCACGAGUGCCUGGCAUCUUGCGGGCGUCGGCGACGAGCAGCAGAAGGUGCGCCGCCCCGUGACCGACGCCGGCGGCGGCUUUGCGGACGCCAGCGGGAGACACGGCGCCGCCGACUCCACCCAGCGCCGCCCAAACCACCGGAGCCCGCCGCGUGGCCGUCCAAUCCCCCGAAUGCGCUGCCGCUCUUGUCGUGAACCCCAGGGCGCGGAGCGCGCUCUCUGCCGCCGUUGAGCCCGUGCGGUCACCUCACCGUGGGCAGACGCCAUUACGCCAAGACCAACCCCGUUCAGCUGCAAAUCGAGUCCAGUAACAUCCACUGAUGCUGCUCGACCGCUCAAACCCCCUGCCAACCCACUGCUCCGCCGUAAUCGCUCGCCGGAGAUUCUCCGUUCACGGCCACCCCGUCGAUCUGCCUAUAAAUAGGGGCCCCGAGCUUCAACUCGAGCACCCACCAGCCCUACACUUCCCCUAGAGCACGCCCAGCCACUGGAAGAGCCGUGAGGGGGUCUCCUUCCUCGACUCCGGCCGCCGCGAUCCGCCACGGGAUCCAGCCCGAUUCGCCCCCGUGUGUGCUCCACAGCCCCCAUUCUCUUGCCAGUAGCUUCUCCUUGCAUCACCCGUUCUGACCCGCGCCUCAAUUCGUACUUUGCAGCCCUCCACCGGAGUUCCCCAACCUCACCCGAACCGCCGUCCGCCGGAGAUAGUGUCGCCGUCGACGUGGUGCUCCCCGUUGGACGAGUCCACCACCCACCGACGCGGAAGAAGACACUGAAGCUCUUGGUACCCUCCGUUUCUCCUAACUCGCCGUGGUUCGACGCCGGCGUCCAUCGCCGUCUUCGGGCGCCGGCGAGCUUUCAAACCUGACAUGCGGGCCCCGCGUGUCAGCCUCUGUUUUAUUUCCCCGAACCGUUUUCUGUUGGCGCCUUCGGGCAAAAUACGUUUUCUCCUUGCGCUUGCGCAUUCCCAGCCGAAGCGUUUUCUGUUUUCUCAGUUAAAACCCUGGAACUUUUCUGUUUCAUUACAGAAAGGUCCCUGGACAGAAACCUUUAUAACUUUUUUAAUGAAAAGGCAUUUUUGAGUGAUUCUUUUUCUGUCAAUCUCCAAAUUUUGUCUAGUUUUUUAUGGGAUUUAUUUGAAAAAUAUUUGGCAAAGUUUCUGUGCAUGUGUUGGUUUUCACGUUAGUACCCCGUUUCGUGAUUGCCGUAGGUUCCGGGAGAGGGGACGGAGCCGCGAACUUCGCCGAGCUAGACUCCGACUUCUCCGAACCAGGCAAGCAUGUUUGAACAUUUGAUAUGGCAGAUGUUUUGCAUGUUCAUGUGAAAGUUUGUGUGUGGCAUAUGAGUGUCGGUAAAUAUCUCGUUGCUCGUAAGGCAACGACCCAGUUGUUCCGAAGUUGCGAUGACCUCUGAUGAGAGGUGGCCUAAUCAUGUGGUGACAUGAAGGGCAGCAAGGUGGUACUGUUGUAGCAUGCCAGCCUUGCGUCAUCCGACUUUCUUCGACGUUAACGUGGUUGGAGCCACGUUAUCGAUCUUUUCCCGCAUGUUCCAAAGUUGCGAUGACCUCUGAUGAGAGGUGGCCUAAUCAUGUGGUGACAUGAAGGGCAGCAAGGUGGUACUGUUGUAGCAUGCCAGCCUUGUGUCAUCCGACUUUUCCGACGUUAACAUGGUUGGAGCUGUGUUAUCGUCCCUUCCCCUUUCCGUGCUACCACAUGUCUCAUUGCCAGGAUACGGUUUAGUAAGUUGGUAACCUCUUUCCGUGUACACACCAAACAGAGAGGCCGGGAUGAUGGUACCUUGGCCCAGGAUUAAAGCCAGUCAUUCGGUCAGGGGGCAUGGGUGUUUCCGGUUGGGACCGAGAGGGGGGGCACCCCCUUAUAGCGCGCGUAUAGAAAUUUGAUCCCAUGCUACGCGAGGUUGUAGCCUCCCCGACUCAAGGUUUUUCCUGAAUGUUGCCGAGGGUGAUCCCUGGCUUCGGAUGGUUAAAUUGGGUGUGUACUGGUUAGACGUGUUCCUUCCAGAACACCGUAGACGGAACUAGUCCCCGUGACUACUGAAAUCCGUUGGCUGUGGUUAAGUACAAACUCUGCAGAGUCAAUUCUUUCCAAAUCAUCGUAUCCAUGAUCAGUAAUGUAGACUUUAUAUCCAAAUCUAUCCGUGUGAAAACUUGCCCCCGGUGAACAAGCUCAAGUGGUAAAUUCAAUUUCAUUGUUAUUCCUGUGGAUGGACUAACAUUAUAUUUGUCUCGUGCUUGUGAUAAAUUAUAUUCCCGAACUAUUGUAUUGUUGUGUUACAAUAUAAGCCCUUUAUGUGACGUCGCGCAGACGUCCGACUGCGGCAUGCACUGUCUUUACUUUCUGUUAUAAGCCCUUUAUGUGGUGUCGCCCCGACGCCCGACUGUGGCAUUAUUGUUCCGCAUUUUCCGCUCGAGGAGUCUUUCAGACACUCGUUUGGCACCUGUAUUAUUAUUCCGCAUUUUCCGCUCGAGGAGUCUUUCUGACACUCGUUUGGCACCUGUAUUAUUAUUCCGCAUUUUCCGCUCGAGGAGUCUUUCUGACACUCGUUUGGCACCAGUAUUACUAUUCUGCAGUUUCCGCUCGAGGCGUCAUUCAGACCCUCGCUUGGCACCCAGUAUUUAUUAUCUCUGUGUCUGAUCGCACUGGUUAACUUAUUCAUGUGCUUCAUGUUUGCAUUUGUUAUACCUUAUGUCCGAACUGUCUUGCGAGUACUUUCAUAGUACUCACCUGGCUUGUUGAUUUGGCUAGAUGCUGACGAAGGCGAUCUCUUGGAUGAAGAGUUUGAUAGCGCGUCCGACGCCUAGAGGAGUCCCAGUCAGUCCUGCGCGAUCCCGGAUAUUGGUCACUUUUAUCGUUUACGCUUCCGCCACCCGCAAUAAGUCAUCUCGAGCCUCACUCCGACGCUCGAAGAGUUGUAGUAUUCUGGAAUCAUGUCACUCGCUUCGCGAUGAUAUUUCCACCACCGUUAUUAUCGUGAGUUAGAAGUUUGCCACCCUAUCCGCCGUAUUGUUUUAUCGGCGUGCUUGUAAUAAAUUGUUGGGCAGCCUCUGCUCAACUUUGUAUUAUAUUUAGUACUCCUGGUAUUUUUCUUCUGUGACCAAUGUAUUGUCUAUCAGUGAGAAGGAAUUCUUCCUCGCUGGUCCGUAACAGGGAUUGGUUUCUCAAUAAUUAUUUUAUUGAAAAACCGGUCGUGACAAGCUUGGUAUCAGAUCCAGGCUGACUGUAGGAAGCCACUAGGUGCGAUCGCUAAUCGGUUAUUAGCGUCUUUAGUGCUUCCUCAGCAUUUUGCAAUUGUAGCUAUUUUCUGUUGGUCAUCAUAAAAUUUAUGACAUGACUACUCAGAAUUUUUGCCUACUUUUGUAGAUGGCUGGCAGCGGCUGUGAGAAUCGAGUGUUCACCAACGUGCCCGAGGGGUUUGUCAAGCUCCUCGUCUCCAUCACCAAGCUCGCGAUCGGGCCAGCAGCUCGCCCGGAGUUCACCCUCUAUCAGCACAAGCUCAGUGACGACGUGUCUAUGCACCAGGCUGUGGUGCAAUUCAAGGGAGGACGAUCUGCUGCUCGCCAUUUCCGUUUUACGGGAAGGGCCAUGCCUACGGAGAGGCAUGCCAUGCAGAUGGCUGCCCGUGAGGCGAUAGCUCGCCUUCGGGACAUCCUUCCUACGAUGAAGACUCGUCGCUACCGCUACCUCCCAUGCCAUGUGCCUUACACCAGCCACUAUGCGUUCGCCUGCCAUCGGGGAGAGCGAGAUGAAGCCAUCGAGAUGGUUGUGGAGUAUCUCAAGGCUCUGGAGGAGUCCUUCGACAACCUCGUAGAUGAUCUUGUGGCUGCCCGCAUGGACUUAGUCCGGGGCGGUCCUGCCAGCAGGAAGGAGCUUCUCCACACGGCGCCGCCUCUGACAUUCGUCUCGUCUUCAGCCUCGUAUGCACCGGCCGUUUUGGCCACUGCUCGCCGUCUGCCUACCACUGAGGAGUUCGACCGAGUCAUCGCUCCUACUCCAGUCAGAGCCGCACCGCCUGCCGCACGCGCUCUACCGCCAGUCGCCCCCGCACCAUCACCGCAGCGCAGCGUCGCACGCCAGGAGCCAGCUAGAGAGGAGGAGGUUGAUUCUCCUGGACCGCUGAGCCUUGCCCUCGGCAAGGGGAAGGAGAUCUUCACCAUCUCCGACUGAGAGCACCGAGUAGCCGCGUGUUAUGCCUGCUUGUUUGAUGUGUUGUUUUUAUCUGUACGCUAGUUUGUGUUGGUGUGUUUGCUGCCUUCCGGAGUAGUACGCUAGCUUUUAAUAACAUGUCAGGAUUGUGUACGCACAACCUAAGUGCUGUAUCUUGUGUUUGCUUUCGCAUGUAAGAUUUGUGUUAAGCACUUCUUCUCCGUGAAAAUCAUUUGUGUUUCUUGAAAACCUUGAAGCCUUUUUGAUUAUUGCCUUUGCAAGGGUUUUCCUGCGCUACACGGUUUUUCUCAUGGGUUUUGCAAAUGAUACCCCAGACUGGAAAAAUGUCUCGCCCUUGGACUCGCUCUAUGCCCAAUCAGCCAGAAGAGGUUUACGGAACACAGACCAGCAACAAUUUCACUCAGGGUCAGUCCAGCCAACAGGACAGCGAAGCGGCACUAUCUCAAGUAUGCCGUCUCUUCGAGCAAAGCCAGCAACAGCACCAGGAGAUGAUGAACCAUGUCAUCAAUAUGGGAAACCACCGUGAACCCUAUCAACCACAUUCCAAGUUAUCUGAGUUACAGAAGACUCGCCCCUCAACUUUUGCUCACACCGACAGGCCACUGGAAGCCGAUGAUUGGCUUCGCGAGAUUGAAAGGAAACUGAUUAUCGCUCAAUGCUCAGAUCAUGAGAAGGUGCUUUAUGCACCACACUACCUUACUGGAGCAGCCGUAGCAUGGUGGGAAAACUUCCUACACAUGCACCCCAGGGAACACAACAUCACCUGGGAAGAAUUCAAGGAAGGCUUCCGUGGGGCACACAUUCCCAGGAGCAUCCUAAAGAUCAAGAAGAGAGAGUUUGAUGACCUGAAGCAAAGAGGCAUGACCGUCACAGAAUACAACGGCCAGUUUACCCAACUGUCUCGUUAUGCCUACGACGAGCACAUGACAGAAAACAAGAAGAUGGAAAAAUUCCUGGACGGCCUGGCACCAGCAUUAAGAUGCCAACUGAUUGUACACACCUUUCCGGAUUUUAAGACGCUGGUGGACAAGGCCAUCACCCUGGAGAAUGAGCGCCGUAGUCUGGAAGAUAUCCGCAAGCGGAAGAGGGACAAGACGACUCUUGCCCGCAGCAACCGAGGCAAGACUGAGGUCCCAAGGACAGACACGAGGAGAUCCACGGGUACUGAGCCAAGACCCGUCGGACAAUUUCAUGCCAGAGACAAGGAGUUCACAUACCGUCCAGGGGUCACCUGCUAUGCUUGUGGUCAACAAGGGCAUUAUGCUAAACAGUGCCCGAAGCCAAGAGACUCGGCACCCAAGCCGAACAAUGGUGGAAACAAUCCAGCCCCCAAGCGCAACAACUUCAAUCCCAGCAACAACCACAGGAAGGGUCACUUGAACCAUGUGACCAGGGAAGAAGCGCAGAAUGCCCCAGACAUCGUGCUCGGUACGUUCCCUGUCAACACAGUACCUGCCACGGUUUUGUUUGAUUCUGGAGCUUCCCAUUCGUUCGUUUCGAAGAGUUUUGUUUCGCAACAUGGUUUUCCGAUACUCCCCUUGGAAAAAUCUAUGAUCAUCAAGUCCCCCGGAAAUAAGCAAAUUGCUCAGGGUUACUGCCAGGGAGUGGUCAUUGAGUUCGAAGGACUACCAUUCCACGCGAAUCUCAUCGUGUUGGAAAGUAAAGGACUGGAUGUCAUUUUAGGAAUGGACUGAUUAACCACCAACAAAGGAUUCAUCGACUGUUUCAAUCGGACAAUGAUUCUCACUCACCAUCACGGCAAGACAAUAAGAGUUUCCGCUCAAGAAAGGCCACGAUCACAGAAACCAAAACUGAACAAGAUGGACAUCGCAGAAUUAAGAAAAGUGCCAGUGGUAUGCGAGUUCCCUGAUGUGUCCCGGAAGAACUACCAGGUAUGCCACCAGACCGAGAGAUCGAAUUCAGCAUUGAAUUAGCACCUGGCACCGCUCCCAUUUAUAAGAAGCCGUAUAGAAUGGCACCCUCAGAAUUGGUGGAGUUGAAGAAGCAGAUAAAGGAAUUACUGGACAAGGGGUUUACACGAGCCAGCUCCUCACCAUGGGGUUCGCCCGUAUUGUUCGCCAAGAAGAAGGAUGGGACACUGAGACUAUGCAUAGACUAUCGAGCCCUCAAUAUGGUCACCAUCAAAAACAAAUACCCGAUGCCACGGAUAAAUGAUUUGUUUGACCAGCUCGCACAAGCUAAAGUAUUUUCAAAGAUUGAUUUGAGAUCAGGAUACCAUCAACUGAAGGUACGAACAGAGGAUAUCCCCAAGACAGCAUUCACUUCCAGAUAUGGGUUAUACGAGUUUACGGUGAUGCCGUUUGGACUAACAAACGCCCCCGCAUAUUUCGUCCACCUCAUGAACAAAGUAUUCAUGAAAUUCAUGGACAAAUUUGUGGUGGUAUUCAUUGACGACAUUCUGGUUUACUCAAGGACACCAGAAGAACAUACUGAGCACCUCAGGAUUGUUUUGGGAGAAUUGAGGAAACAUCAGUUGUACGCCAAAUUUAGCAAAUGCGAAUUUUGGCUAAGACAAGUUGGUUUCUUGGGCCAUAUUUUGAACCAAGAAGGCGUGGCCGUAGACCCAGAAAAAGUCAAGGCCAUACUAGACUGGAAGCCACCCGCGAAUGUUACAGAUGUGCGGAGUUUCCUAGGGAUGGCCGGGUAUUACAGGAGGUUUAUUGAAGGAUUCUCCACUGUGGCAAAACCUAUAACACAGUUACUCAAGAAGGACAAGAAAUUCGUAUGGACGGAAGCAUGUGAGAAGAGCUUCCAAGAACUCAAGAAGAAGCUAACAACCGCACCAGUCUUAACCGUACCAGACAUACACAAGAGCUUUGAGGUGUAUUGUGACGCGUCCCGAAAAGGUCUCGGAUGUGUGCUAAUGCAGGAUGGCAAAGUUGUCGCAUAUGCCUCCAGACAGCUGCGAAAACAUGAGGAAAAUUACCCAACACAUGACUUGGAACUAGCAGCAGUUAUACAUGCACUCAAGGAGUGGAGGCACUUUCUGUUGGGAAAUCGCUGUGAAAUAUAUACGGACCAUAAGAGCCUCAAAUAUAUCUUCACACAGCCAGAGCUGAAUUUACGCCAACGACGCUGGUUGGAACUGGUCAAAGACUAUGACGUCGGCAUCCACUACCACCCAGGAAAAGCAAAUGUAGUGGCCGAUGCCCUUAGCCGAAACCCCAGCCCGGACAGUGACGGUCAGCAAAACUUGAGGCCUGAGUUUCAGCGAGAGUUCACUCGGCUCAACAUGAUGUUAGUCUCUGAGGGCACCAUAUCGAACCUGGAGAUACAACCCACCCUAGUGGAACAAAUCAAGAAGGCUCAACAGGGACAUCCCAGUAUCGAAGGCAUAAAGAAGAAAAUGAACCGUAGUAAGACUUCAGAAUUCGUCACGGACAGUGAAGGAACAUUAUGGUACCGGGACAGACUUUGCGUACCUAACAUUGAGGAACUCAAGCAACAGAUCUUGACGGAGAGCCACACCGCUCCAUACUCGAUACAUCCUGGAGGAACCAAAAUGUACAAGGACAUUCAGGAAAGAUUUUGGUGGCACGGUAUGAAAAGAGAUAUAGCCACAUUCGUUGCUUGUUGCGAUUCAUGUCAGCGCAUCAAGGCCGAGCACCAAAAGCCAGCAGGGCUACUCCAGCCUAACAAGAUACCGGAGUGGAAAUGGGAUGAAAUCGGAAUGGACUUCAUUGUCGGAUUACCCUGAUCACAGCGUGGAAAUGACGCCAUCUGGGUCAUCACAGACCGACUAACCAAGGUUGCUCACUUCAUUCCCGUGAAGACUACCUACUCCACACAAAGACUGGCAAAACUCUAUCUCUCCCGUAUAGUUUGCUUGCACGGAGUCCCAAAGACUAUAAUAUCAGACCGAGGCACCCAAUUCGUCUCCAAAUUUUGGGAUCACCUACAACAAGCUCUGGGCACGCAACUAGCUUUCAGUACAGCAUACCACCCUCAGACAGAUGGACAAACAGAACGUGUAAACCAAAUCCUAGAGGAUAUGCUAAGAGCCUGUGUGCUCACCUAUGGAUCCAGUUGGGAAGAGAGUUUGCCGUAUGCCGAAUUUGCGUACAACAACAGUUACCAAACCAGUUUGCAAAUGGCACCCUUUGAAGCAUUGUACGGACGGAGGUGUCGUACCCCAUUGAAUUGGUCAGAAACAGGUGACAGCCGUAUCUUCGGCCCAGAUAUGCUUAAGGAGGCCGAGGAAAAAGUUAAACAAAUCAGGGACAGACUCAAGACAGCACAGAGCCGACAAAAGAGCUACUAUGAUCAGAAGCAUCGUGAGGUCAGCUUUGAACCUGGUGAUUCUGUAUACCUCCGAGUACCUCCUAUGAGGGGUCUGCAACGGUUCAAAUUUAAGGGGAAGCUAGCCGCAAGAUUUAUUGGACCAUUUUGUGUGAAGGCACGAAGAGGCACGGUAGCCUACCAGCUAGACCUACCCAAGGAGCUGUCAGACGUCCAUGACGUAUUCCACGUCUCGUAGUUGAGGAAAUGUGUGAGUAACCCGGAGAAACAUGUACCUCAUGAGGACAUUGAUAUGCAACCAGAUCUCACCUACAGAGAAAGACCAGUAAAGAUUUUAGAAGAGUCUGAACGGAGGACCCGUCAGAAAACGACAAAACUUUUCAGGGUCCAGUGGAGCAACCACACUGAGGAUGAAGCCACAUGGGAAAGGGAAGAUUUCCUCCGAGCAGAGUAUCCAUAUCUAUUUGAGGAUCAGCAGAAAUCUCGAGGACGAGAUUUUUCCUAAGGGGGUAGGUGUUGUGACACCCAAGUUUCUAUUGAAUUUUUAAAAAAGAUUUUUAUUUGACUUGAAGGGAGUGAUUUAAAAAUUUUCUUCAAGAGAACUCUCAAUCUCAAAUAUUUUUCUUUAUGGCAAAAAUUUUAUUUGAAUUCACCCAAGAUCUGCCUUUGACCUGGGGAGUUCUUGCUCUUCAUUUGGGCUCAAGACAAAAUGUUUUUCAUUUGAGAGAAUAACUUUUGAAAACCUUUUCUUGAAUUUGCACUAUGGCUUUUGGAAAGUACUUUGCCACUUUCAACUAUUCCUUCUUGCCAUGGCAUAAGUGCAAAUCCUCUCUCCUAAACACUCCCUCACCUCUGGAUCAUGAUUUACAUCAAAUCCAGCAAGUUGAACCUCCCCAUGUAUUUAUUUUCCAUUCAAAUUCUAUUCAAAUAUUUUCUGCCUUCUAUUCUACCUCUUGGAGAUUUACAAAGGAACUCCAUUUUCUGUUUGGACUUUUACCACCAAACUUCUUUCCCCUCCUAGUCCUUUGAACCCUCAACCUAGAACCAUGAAGAUCCACUGGUCUCCAGUUCAAAAUUUUCAAACUACAUCAGCUGCAAGUUUGGACCAGAUUUGCCAAAUUUGGUGAAAUUCAUUCAAAACCUUCUCCAAAAAUUCCAAGUAAAUUCAGGCAGCCCCUGGGUGCUUUGAGUGAUCGUCUCACCAAGUUACAGCUCCAGAAAAAUUUAUCUCUUUACCAAAACCUACUGUCGAACACCUGCAAUGCUUGUUCACUGUCAAGAUUCAGUAAGUUCAGAGUUCAGUCAAGUGGCUGCUGUCGUUUUCUUCAGAAACGGGCGUCGAUCUCGCCAGUACCCUCGCGUCGCCUUGCUCCUCGUCCUCACCCUCUCGUUCCUGCACCGCACGAGUGCCUGGCAUCUUGCGGGCGUCGGCGACGAGCAGCAGAAGGUGCGCCGCCCCGUGACCGACGCCGGCGGCGGCUUUGCGGACGCCAGCGGGAGACACGGCGCCGCCGACUCCACCCAGCGCCGCCCAAACCACCGGAGCCCGCCGCGUGGCCGUCCACUCCCCCGAAUGCGCUGCCGCUCUCGUCGUGAACCCCAGGGCGCGGAGCGCGCUCUCUGCCGCCGUUGAGCCCGUGCGGUCACCUCAUCGUGGGCAGACGCCAUUACGCCAAGACCAACCCCGUUCAGCUGCAAAUCGAGUCCAGUAACAUCCACUGAUGCUGCUCGACCGCUCAAACCCCUGCCAACCCACUGCUCCGCCGUAAUCGCUCGCCGGAGAUUCUCCGUUCACGGCCACCCCGUCGAUCUGCCUAUAAAUAGGGGCCCCGAGCUUCAACUCGAGCACCCACCAGGCCUACACUUCCCCUAGAGCACGCCCAGCCACUGGAAGAGCCGCGAGGGGGUCUCCUUCCUCGACUCCGGCCGCCGUGAUCCGCCACGAGAUCCAGCCCGAUUCGCCCCCGUGUGUGCUCCACAGCCCCCAUUCUCUUGCCAGUAGCUUCUCCUUGCAUCACCCGUUCUGACCCGCGCCUCAAUUCGUACUUUGCAGCCCUCCACCGGAGUUCCCCAACCUCACCCGAACCGCCGUCCGCCGGAGAUAGUGUCGCCGUCGACGUGGUGCUCCCCGUUGGACGAGUCCACCACCCACCGACGCGGAAGAAGACACUGAAGCUCUUGGUACCCUCCGUUUCUCCUAACUCGCCGUGGUUCGACGCCGGCGUCCAUCGCCGUCUUCGGGCGCCGGCGAGCUUUCAAACCUGACAUGCGGGCCCCGCGUGUCAGCCUCUGUUUUAUUUCCCCGAACCGUUUUCUGUUGGCGCCUUCGGGCAAAAUACGUUUUCUCCUUGCGCUUGCGCAUUCCCAGCCGAAGCGUUUUCUGUUUUCUCAGUUAAAACCCUGGAACUUUUCUGUUUCAUUACAGAAAGGUCCCUGGACAGAAACCUUUAUAACUUUUUUAAUCAAAAGGCAUUUUUGAGUGAUUCUUUUUCUGUCAAUCUCCAAAUUUUGUCUAGUUUUUUAUGGGAUUUAUUUGAAAAAUAUUUGGCAAAGUUUCUGUGCAUGUGUUGGUUUUCACGUUAGUACCCCGUUUCGUGAUUGCCGUAGGUUCCGGGAGAGGGGACGGAGCCGCGAACUUCGCCGAGCUAGACUCCGACUUCUCCGAACCAGGCAAGCAUGUUUGAACAUUUGAUAUGGCAGAUGUUUUGCAUGUUCAUGUGAAAGUUUGUGUGUGGCAUAUGAGUGUCGGUAAAUAUCUCGUUGCUCGUAAGGCAACGACCCAGUUGUUCCGAAGUUGCGAUGACCUCUGAUGAGAGGUGGCCUAAUCAUGUGGUGACAUGAAGGGCAGCAAGGUGGUACUGUUGUAGCAUGCCAGCCUUGCGUCAUCCGACUUUCUUCGACGUUAACGUGGUUGGAGCCACGUUAUCGAUCUUUUCCCGCAUGUUCCAAAGUUGCGAUGACCUCUGAUGAGAGGUGGCCUAAUCAUGUGGUGACAUGAAGGGCAGCAAGGUGGUACUGUUGUAGCAUGCCAGCCUUGUGUCAUCCGACUUUUCCGACGUUAACAUGGUUGGAGCCGUGUUAUCGUCCCUUCCCCUUUCCGUGCUACCACAUGUCUCAUUGCCAGGAUACGGCUUAGUAAGUUGGUAACCUCUUUCCGUGUACACACCAAACAGAGAGGCCGGGAUGAUGGUACCUUGGCCCAGGAUUAAAGCCAGUCAUUCGGUCAGGGGGCAUGGGUGUUUCCGGUUGGGACCGAGAGGGGGGGCACCCCCUUAUAGCGCGCGUAUAGAAAUUUGAUCCCAUGCUACGCGAGGUUGUAGCCUCCCCGACUCAGGGUUUUUCCUGAAUGUUGCCGAGGGUGAUCCCUGGCUUCGGAUGGUUAAAUUGGGUGUGUACUGGUUAGACGUGUUCCUUCCAGAACACCGUAGACGGAACUAGUCCCCGUGACUACUGAAAUCCGUUGGCUGUGGUUAAGUACAAACUCUGCAGAGUCAAUUCUUUCCAUAUCAUCGUAUCCAUGAUCAGUAAUGUAGACUUUACAUCCAAAUCUAUCCGUGUGAAAAUCUUGCCCCCGGUGAACAAGCUCAAGCGGUAAAAUCUCAGAUUUAUUGUUAUUCCAGUUGAUGGACUAACUUUAUUUUGUGUCUCAUGCUUGUGAUAAUUUAUGUCUCCGAGCUAUUGUAUUAAUGAGUUCUGACAUAAGCCCUUUAUGUGACGUCGCGCAGACGUCCGACUGUGGCGUGUACUCGUUUCUCAUUUUCGAUAUAAGCCCUUUAUGUGAUGUCGCUCAGACGUCCGACUGCGGCAUGCACUGUCUUUACUUUCUGUUAUAAGCCCUUUAUGUGGUGUCGCCCCGACGCCCGACUGUGGCAUUAUUAUUCUGCAUUUUCCGCUCGAGGAGUCUUUCAGACACUCGUUUGGCACCUGUAUUUUUAUUCCGCAUUUUCCUCUCGAGGAGUCUUUCAGACACUCGUUUGGCACCUGUAUUAUUAUUCCGCAUUUUUCGCUCGAGGAGUCUUUCAGACACUCGUUUGGCACCCGCAUUACUAUUCUGCAGUUUCCGCUCGAGGCGUCAUUCAGACCCUCGCUUGGCACCCAGUAUUUAUUAUCUCUAUGUCUGAUCGCUCUGGUUAACUUAUUCAUGUGCUUCAUGUUUGCAUUUGUUAUACUUUAUGUUCGAACUGUCUUGCGAGUACUUUCAUAGUACUCACCUGGCUUGUUGAUUUGGCCAGAUGUUGACGAAGGCGAUCUCUUGGAUGAAGAGUUUGAUAGCGCGUCCGACGCCUAGAGGAGUCCCAGUCAGUCCUGCGCGAUCCCGGAUAUUGGUCACUUGUAUCGUUUACGCUUCCGCCACCCGCAAUAAGUCUUCUCGAGCCUCACUCCGACGCUCGAAGAGUCGUAGUAUUCCGGAAUCAUGUCACUCGCUUCGCGAUGAUAUUUCCACCACCGUUUUUAUCGUGAGUUAGUAGUUUGCCACCCUAUCCGCCGUAUUGUUUUAUCGGCGUGCAUGUAAUAAAUUGUUGGGCAGUCUCUGCUCAACCUUGUAUUAUAUUUAGUACUCCUGGUAUUUUUCUUCUGUGACCAAUAUAUUGUCUAUCAGUGAGAAGGAAUUCUUCCUCGCUGGUCCGUAACAGGGAUUGGUUUCUCAAUAAUUAUUUUAUUGAAAACCGGUCGUGACAUCCGCGCCCAACCAUCACGCCGGCGCCGGAGAUCCGGGUAGCGCUCCCCGUACCGAGCAACGGGAACCCAGGCGAACAAAAAACCCUAGCCGCAACGAUAGAUGACUCGGGCCUAGCCGGCUCAUGCAUGCACGUAGAAACAAUAGACGUGGCUUGGGCUUCCGACUGGGCCUCAUGCCUCAAGUCCGGAGAGCCCACGACCAACGCUAUUUCCGAUCCAUUAUCGAGGCCCAGCAACGAAUUUGUAACGCCCACGAUGCCGCUAUAUCUCCCACGUGUCGAGGCACGACUUAGAGGCAUAACCGCAUAGUGGUUUUGUCGCAAGAAAGGUCAUCUUCACACAAUCCCAUGUAAUGAACAAGAAUGGGAUAAAGAGUUGGCUUACAAUCGCCACUUCACACAAUACAUGAAUAUCAUCAUCCAUCAUCCAAAAUACAAUCAUAUAGACCCACUACGGUCAAAAUCCAGAUGAAAAUAAGACAACCCCAAAUGCUAGAUCCCCGAUCGUCCCAACUGGGCACCACUACUGAUCAUCAGGAAAAGACACAUAGUAACGACCACGUUCCUCGUCGAACUCCCACUUGAGAUCGACGCCAUCAUCUGCACUGGCAUCGUCGGCACCUGCAACUGGUGUUGGAAGUAUCUGUGAGUCACGGGGACUCAGCAAUCUCACACCCGCGAGAUCAAGACUAUUUCAGCUUAUAGGACAAAGAGGUGCNNNNNNNNNNNNNNNNNNNNNNNNNNNNNNNNNNNNNNNNNNNNNNNNNNNNNNNNNNNNNNNNNNNNNNNNNNNNNNNNNNNNNNNNNNNNNNNNNNNNAGGGGACACAAAAUAUAUCACCCAAACUAACAAUCCCUAGAUCCAGCUGUAUCCAUCCGUCAACACAUAACCAAGAAACCUUCGGAAAUCGUUUACCUCAACCUUCGAAAAACAUCCGUUAUACAAGUUAUGGCAAUACUCCCGAACUCCCGCCCCAGUACUGGGUGGCGUCGAGGUGAUCUCACCAACAACUGCAUAAAAGAGAUUUCGAUGUCGGCGAAACUCAGGUAUUCCAGAACUGCAACGAUAAAAUUGUGACGACAACACCUCGGAGCUCAACUCCCCGGGACACUGCCACAACCCCUAAAUGACAGGAGGCACCAAGAACAAUGUUCUCGUCACAAAUCGAUCGGAACGAUUCCAAGAUACCCGCGUGAUCCUAAAAAAAAAAUUUUAGUGAAAUUUGAGGAGAGAGUAGUCAAAACUUCUACGUCAGGAGACCUCACCAGAGCGACGAAGGGACUGAGGAGUAAAAGAAUCCUACUCUCCGAUAUAUAUAAUCCUAAGACUCAAAACAUUUUUAUUCUAGACUCAACAACGCCAGCGAUUCAAUCAAGCAGGGGGCUCCUAAGUCGGGGAUGGCUCUGAUUACCAACUUGUAACGCCCACGAUGCGGCUAUAUCUCCCACGUGUCGAGGCACGACUUAGAGGCAUAACCGCAUAGUGGUUUUGUCGCAAGAAAGGUCAUCUUCACACAAUCCCAUGUAAUGAACAAGAAUGGGAUAAAGAGUUGGCUUACAAUCGCCACUUCACACAAUACAUGAAUAUCAUCAUCCAUCAUCCAAAAUACAAUCAUAUAGACCCACUACGGUCAAAAUCCAGAUGAAAAUAAGACAACCCCAAAUGCUAGAUCCCCGAUCGUCCCAACUGGGCACCACUACUGAUCAUCAGGAAAAGACACAUAGUAACGACCACGUUCCUCGUCGAACUCCCACUUGAGAUCGACGCCAUCAUCUGCACUGGCAUCGUCGGCACCUGCAACUGGUGUUGGAAGUAUCUGUGAGUCACGGGGACUCAGCAAUCUCACACCCGCGAGAUCAAGACUAUUUCAGCUUAUAGGACAAAGAGGUGCAAAGAGGUGGAGCUGCAGCGGCAAAAGCAUAUAUGGUGGCUAACUUGCGCAAAUGAGAGCGAGAAGAGAAGCAAUGGAACGAGCGUCAUCUAGCAAUGACCAAGAAGAGGUCCUGAACACCUACUUACGUCAUACAUAACACAGACCGUGUUCACUUCCCGGACUCCGCCGAGAAGAGACCAUCACGGCUACACACGCACUUGGUGUAUUUUAAUUGGGUCAAGUGACAAGUUGUCUAAAACCGGACAUUAACAAAUUCCCAUCUGCCUCAUAACCGCGGGCACGGCUUUCGAAAGAUAUUACCCUGCAGGGGUGUCCCAACUUAGCCCAUCAUAAGCUCUCACGGACAACGAAGGAUAAACCUUCUCCCGGAAAAACCCGAUCAGUCUCGGAAUCCCGGUUUACAAGACAUCUCGACAAUGGUAAAACAAGACCAGCAAAGCCACCCGAAUGUGCCGACAAAUCCCGAUAGGAGCUGCACAUGUCUCGUUCUCAGGGCACACCGGAUGAGACAUCCUACGAGUAAAACCAGACCUCGAGUUUCCAGGAGGUGGCCCCGCAGUCUGCUCAGUUUGGACCAACACUCGAAGGAGCACUGGCCCGGGGGGGUUAAAAUAAGAUGACCCUCGGGCUCGCGAAAACCCGGGGGAAAAGGCUUAGGUAGCAACUAGUAAAACCAAGGUUGGGCCAUGCUGGAGGAGUUUUAUUCAAGGCGAACUGUCAAGGGGGUCCCAUAAAUCACCCGACCGUGUAAGGAACGCAAACUCAAGGAACAUAAUCCCGGUAUAACAGUAACUAGGGCGGCAAGAGUGGAACAAAACACCAGGCAUAAGGCCGAGCCUUCCACCCUUUACCAAAAUAUAUAGAUGCAUUAAUUAAAUAAGAGAUAUUGUGAUAUCCCAACAUAUCCAUGUUCCGACAUGGAACAAACUUCAACUUCACCUGCAACUAACAACGCUAUAAGAGGGGCUGAGCAAAAGCGGUAACAUAGCCAAACAACGGUUUGCUAGGAAAGGAUGGUUAGGGGCUGACAUGGCUGAAAUAGGAGACAUGAUAUAGCAAGAGAUAGGUAGCGAGCAUGGCAAUAGAGCGAAACAACUAGCAUAGCAAAGAUAGAAGUGAUUUCGAGGGGUGGUCAUCUUGCCUGCAAGAUUCUCAGAGUUGUCGAAAGCUUGAUCCUCGUAAGUGUACUCGACAGGUUCCUCGUUCACGAACUCGUCUCCCGGCUCUACCCAAGACAAGAAUACAAACAAAUGGAACCACAAUCAACAACGAGGAAUGCGCAAGCAACAUGAUGCAAGACAUGUAUGAUAUGCAGGUUAUGAUAUGUGAUGCAUAUGCGUGCUCCGGAAGGAAAAUGAUGAACAUGGCAGUAAAUUUGCAAACCAAGCAUGCCACUGGAAAGAUGAGAUGAUUUCGUUCGAAAUCGAUAUAAAGAUCACCGGAAUCGGAUGCACGGUUUGCAAAUGGCAAGCAAAACAAGAAUGACACUAAUCUGCGAUAAACAGCAAGAUAGCACUUAAAAUACAACAAGUAACAAUACUACAGCAUCCCAACAUAGCAACAAAGCACAUGGAAGUAAUCUACAGGAGAUGCUUGACAAAAGAUGAACACUGAGCUACUGCUAGUUCACAACAUAUCCAGCUCAAACAAGCAUGGCAAAAGUGCAAAAGAUUACAGGUUCACAGACUUAGUGAAAAACUGGACAUGGCAGAAAUCAGCAUCAGGUAGCAAUGUUCAGAGCACGAAAUCAAUAUGCUACAGAAACUUAACAUAGCAAAACAAGGCAUGGUAGUGUUCUACUAAAUGCACAUGACAAAAGUCCCUUACUGACCAUAAGCCAACAAGGACAAGAGGAUAUGAUGGCAAGCAUGUAAACAUAGCAAGUUUCGUUAUCAGGUUCCAGACUUAGCAGAAAACAGAGCAUGGCAGAAAUAUUAAUAUGUAGGCCUCUUUGUGAGCUUGAUGCACUCACUACAGAGCAAUGCAUGAAAAAACAAGCAUACCUACAGCAAGAUGGCAUGUUCAAGAAGCUAUCCAUGGCAAGAACAAUUACAUAGCAUGUGUGGAUCAACUACAAUAAGCUUGGCAAAAAUGCAUGUCAUGUUAAGAAUCUGCCAGAAAUAUUUUAUAGCAAAAGUAGAGCAAGAUCGAGUUAUGCUAUAGUACUCUAAAAUUGCAAACAAUUGCAGGAAUGGAUCAAUUACAACUAUAGCUACAAAACAUCCUUACUGAACAUCUCCAAAAUAUGCAUGGAUCUCUCUGUAGCAUCAAGUUUACAUGGCAACAAAAUUACAGCAGACAAAGACUUAGAGAAAUCACUAAGUCCCUGAAAUCAGAAAUAUUACGGGGCCUACUUUGCAUGCUUGUGCUAGUCACCACAAAGAUCACAAAAAUACACGGACUAUACCACUGUAAAGAUGGCAUGGCAUACUUCAAAACACAUGUAGAGCUCAUGCUCAAAAGAUGCACAGAUUAAAUAAUACAAAAAAUGACAAAUCUCCAAGUUCUGAUAAGAACCAGAGAUUAACAGCAACUAGCCCUUUUCCAACGAAUAUUUGGGCAUCAAGAUGACCUCUAAUGAAAAUGGUGCAAUUGAACAAAAUGAAGAGCAUCACGAGACGAACAAUUUGACAUAUUAUACGCGCGAAUCGGAGCUACAUGCACAAAGUUAUCGCAUCUCGAACAGGAGCAUAUACUGAAAUGUUUCAGGGACUUAGAAAAAAAAAGGGGGGGGGGUCUCNNNNNNNNNNNNNNNNNNNNNNNNNNNNNNNNNNNNNNNNNNNNNNNNNNNNNNNNNNNNNNNNNNNNNNNNNNNNNNNNNNNNNNNNNNNNNNNNNNNNNNNNNNNNNNNNNNNNNNNNNNNNNNNNNNNNNNNNNNNNNNNNNNNNNNNNNNNNNNNNNNNNNNNNNNNNNNNNNNNNNNNNNNNNNNNNNNNNNNNNNNNNNNNNNNNNNNNNNNNNNNNNNNNNNNNNNNNNNNNNNNNNNNNNNNNNNNNNNNNNNNNNNNNNNNNNNNNNNNNNNNNNNNNNNNNNNNNNNNNNNNNNNNNNNNNNNNNNNNNNNNNNNNNNNNNNNNNNNNNNNNNNNNNNNNNNNNNNNNNNNNNNNNNNNNNNNNNNNNNNNNNNNNNNNNNNNNNNNNNNNNNNNNNNNNNNNNNNNNNNNNNNNNNNNNNNNNNNNNNNNNNNNNNNNNNNNNNNNNNNNNNNNNNNNNNNNNNNNNNNNNNNNNNNNNNNNNNNNNNNNNNNNNNNNNNNNNNNNNNNNNNNNNNNNNNNNNNNNNNNNNNNNNNNNNNNNNNNNNNNNNNNNNNNNNNNNNNNNNNNNNNNNNNNNNNNNNNNNNNNNNNNNNNNNNNNNNNNNNNNNNNNNNNNNNNNNNNNNNNNNNNNNNNNNNNNNNNNNNNNNNNNNNNNNNNNNNNNNNNNNNNNNNNNNNNNNNNNNNNNNNNNNNNNNNNNNNNNNNNNNNNNNNNNNNNNNNNNNNNNNNNNNNNNNNNNNNNNNNNNNNNNNNNNNNNNNNNNNNNNNNNNNNNNNNNNNNNNNNNNNNNNNNNNNNNNNNNNNNNNNNNNNNNNNNNNNNNNNNNNNNNNNNNNNNNNNNNNNNNNNNNNNNNNNNNNNNNNNNNNNNNNNNNNNNNNNNNNNNNNNNNNNNNNNNNNNNNNNNNNNNNNNNNNNNNNNNNNNNNNNNNNNNNNNNNNNNNNNNNNNNNNNNNNNNNNNNNNNNNNNNNNNNNNNNNNNNNNNNNNNNNNNNNNNNNNNNNNNNNNNNNNNNNNNNNNNNNNNNNNNNNNNNNNNNNNNNNNNNNNNNNNNNNNNNNNNNNNNNNNNNNNNNNNNNNNNNNNNNNNNNNNNNNNNNNNNNNNNNNNNNNNNNNNNNNNNNNNNNNNNNNNNNNNNNNNNNNNNNNNNNNNNNNNNNNNNNNNNNNNNNNNNNNNNNNNNNNNNNNNNNNNNNNNNNNNNNNNNNNNNNNNNNNNNNNNNNNNNNNNNNNNNNNNNNNNNNNNNNNNNNNNNNNNNNNNNUUUGGGCUGGUUUUGGAGGGGGGUUUUGCUGGACACUCAAAUGGACUUUGCGGAUGCCCGGUUAACCGUUGGAGUACCAAACGACCUCCGAAUGGAACGAAACUUGACCGGUAGACUCCGGGUGGUAUAUUAAGACCACUUGACAAGCCUCGGUCCAUUCCGAGAAAGUUUGACACAUGCACACGAAAGAAAACAAGAGGGGUGCACCGGAGGAGAUAGGAGCGCCGGAUUGGAAAACGGACAACGGGGAAAAUGCUCGGAUGCACAAGACGAACACGUAUGCGAAUGCAAUGCACAUGAUGACAUGAUAUGAAAAUGCAUGACAUGACAAAAUACAAAACGAAAGACAAAACCCAACAACGGAGGGAAAACAUAUCACAUAGCCGGAAAUGGCAAGAGUCGGAGUUACAAUUAUGGCAAGUUACAUGCGGGGUGUUACAAGUGUGCCCUUCUGGCCGCUCGAAUCGCGCUAGCCGUCGUUGCCACCGGCGACCGCUACGGCGCCGGCCUCGAUGACUGCCCUUUCUUUCCUUUCUUCUUUCUAGUUACUAAAGUCCAUGUCUCUGGAAUAAAAUCUGACAGUGUAACGGGAGCGCGAGAUACCUUAGGAAUCGGCCUGAUCCAUGGUUUGAUGAUCUUCUUCGAGCUUUGAGCUUUGGACCGACGACGUUCAAUUGUAUGUUUAAACUCUGGCAGACUCUCCGGUCCCGCAUUCGAAACCAUGAGAGAGUCCGUCGGGGCAUGCUCGAUCUGGACCUCUUCUUCUUCAUCACUCUCGAUGAGAACCCAGAAACGUCCUCCCGGUUUGUCCAUUCUUGUUGUGUCUGUCAAAUCAACAAGAUCCGCCGCCGGGAUCUGAUCAACCUGCACAGAAUGACCAACAACUACAUCAUAGUUAUCAAUCAAGAACCGAAACCCUACCUCGAUCCGGUCGUCGUCAGGGAGAUAGUCGCCGGUUAACACGUCGUUCUCCAUAUCCAACAGAGCCAUCCAUCGCGACGAUGGAGUGAAACGAAGACGACCCAUGAUCCAAGUGUCGGGAUCCGUCUCGUCGAAGAAUUGGACCUGCCACUGCCGCGAUCUAGGCCUCUCCCCCUUGAUCUCACCAUCUGCAUUGACGCCGUGAUCUGCUCCUGCCGCAUGUGUAUUUGGGGAAGCACGCGCCGUCGGCGGCAAGGGAGAGAUCACCGCCCGCGAAUGGAGAUCAACCGCGUUGGGCGUCCGCGAUGGGGCGCCGGCCUCGUCGGGCGGCCGCGUUCCGUCGGGCGACCUCGUCAUUUACCUUGGAUCAAACUAGAUGAUGACAUACUAACUGGACAAAUCAAUGAAAUCAAUCCACCAAAUCUUCUGAUGUUGGACAUUGUUAAUACCUUAGACAUUAACUUGGUCUCCUCCGUGAUACACUACAAAACAACAAUCGUUUUCAAUUGGUGCAAAAAGAAGUAACUAAAACCACGUCGGUUAUUUCCGAACGGAGGGAGUAGUGAACAGCACGUGAUUACUCAUACUAUAAAUUGAAUAGGCAGUGGCACAGUUUGACAAGAUAUGUAUUUUUGCAGACUGUACCAUAAAGCAUGCAGCUGGAAGAAUGGAACCAGCUGGAGCAAUGGGUUGAGAAACUAGCUCAGUGAAAUUGAGUGCUUCGUCCGUGAUCCUCUGGCUCAGGCCAAGAUGGUCAUGAGGUAUUGUUUUCAGUCCACCAUGGACUGCAACGAUAUCAUUCAAGGCUGUUCAUACACUCGGUGGCUGCUGCAGCGUUGAGACGUGCUUCUCUAUCGCCGAUAUCCACGUUUAGAUAACGAAAAGGAUCAUUUUUAUUCAUGUCAUAAUGCUGCCUAAGAUAGCCAAAAUAGUCUUCUUCUUUUUUUCGCGGGAAAGCCAAAAUAGUCUUCGAAAAGAACACAAUCCCAUUAGUGCAGUUUGCUGGCUCGUUGUAGGUUCGCCCUGGUCCGGUUUUAUUCGGGUUUUUUGGUUUCUUUUAUUUAUUUUUUCCUUUUUUUCUUCAUUUUACUUUGAUUUUCUUUGUUUUCUCAUUGGAUUUGUCUUUUUUCUUUUUUUUUCUUAGUUGAACUUUCGUUUUCCUUGUUUGCUUCUUGGUUUUCUUCAGGGUUUUUUUCUUUUCUUUUGUUUCUUUAUCAGUUCUUUUUUUGCCAACACAUAUCUACUUUAUUCUUAGUAUACAAUGUACAUUUUUAGAGCACACGUGAAACAUUUUUCUGAUACAUGCCAGACAUUUUUCAAACACAUCAUGUAUAUUUUUUUAAAUGCAUGUUUUGAACACUUUUUGAAUACAUGGUAACAUUUUCCAAAUACAAGUUGUACAUUUUUCUACUGGCAAUAAAUAUUUUUAUUAAACUAAGAUAACAUUUUAUUACAUUUUUAGUUGAAAUAAAAAAAUUUAAACACGUAAAUAUUUUCUGAGCCUCUUGGAUGUUUAAGGAAAUAGAAGAUCCAUCAGUCUGUCCAAAUAAGGUUUUUAUAAAAAUCAGUGAUGUAUUUGAGAAAAUUCUAUUCUCCCUCAACAAUCCCUUCUUUUUGCUCUAAGGAGACAAUUUUUUAGUCAACUUUACUGAAACAUCAAACUCCAAGGAGACAACACCACAGAGCAGAAGGCGGAGAACAUCUGCAUUCAGUAGCGCAUUUUUUUAGUAGUGGAGACCAGCGCAUAAAUACAGCUGUUACAAUGUACAGGCCAAAUUCUACAGAAACAAUAAUCUAUUCUGCAUAAUCACUAACUGAACUAAUAUAUGUACACAAAGCUGAAAUGGCUACAAAAUUUCCUGGCCCUCCUUUGAGGCGCUCCAACCAAAUUCACUCCUGGCUCCUGGCAGAUCAUUGGGUAGAAGCAGCAAUAGCUAAUGAGGAAACUGCCCCAGUGUUUGUUCAGAAUCAGCUGCAAUCAUUUCUGGAUCACGUUCGGUACAACGGUAUUGUGAUUGGCAUAUCUUAUUACCACUGACUCCUGAGAUCAUCUCUUCUCAUUGUACAGACCAUCAUUCAGAACCAAAGGGAGAAGACCUUGAAAUCAG